UUUCAUCCUGGCUGUAUUAUUGUAAACUUUUGCCAGGCAAUUAUAUUUAUCCAUCCUUCCCAACAAAAUGUUUGCAAGUUCUCUUCACAGUUUAGUCAGACAAAACAAUCCUUUUCCAGCCCAAGUGCCGAGGACAGUUGUUAUAGCCUCAGGCCCAAAAAGUCCAAACAGUGAAUGGAGAAGAGCAAUUUGGGAGGAUGGGGCUUCAUAACCUGCAGCUCUUAUUGACAACUAACCCCAAUAUGUAAAAGGACCAAAACCUAUAAAAGUGUGAAAACUCAUGACCGAUCAUCCAUCCUGGGUGCAUCUUGGGUCCAUCUCGGGCAGAGCCCCAUCCAGGCUCUUGUGCUGCCCAAGGUGUGUCCUUUGAAGGCUUUUCAAUAAAUACCUCCUCUAACUCUGUUCUAGGUACCCUCUCCAGGCAUCACAGGUGUCUGGAAAAUUUUAGCUUACCCAUUCUGUUGCUAUUAACAUACUGUCUGAAAAGCUUUCAACUGAGCACAGCUAGUACUGGCUGAUGCAAUGCCAGAGUAUAGCCCAAGGAUUUAAGGCAUCAACAGGGGGAUCAGUUCUAGUGAUCAGUCUGUACGGAGCUACCUUGUUUCUGAAGGGACAGCGUAAUUGUAUGAUUCAUGACUUGCUGAGUGAUAUGGAUUAUCAAUAACCUCCUUGAAAUGCACUUCUGUGGGUGUGAAAUCAGUUUGUAAAAAUGAAGAGGAAAUAGUAUAAUUGGAUUUAAAAGAGCUGGGAAAGUGAAUUUGAAAUGUUUUAUAUCAAAAUUAAUCACAUUUUUCACCUUAGUUGCACUCAGAAUAUAAUGAGAGACUGUGUGGGUAAUUUCUCCUCCAUAUGAAAUAUGAUUUACAAGGAUAUGUGCAAACUACAGCACUUAAAUCUCACUUAUGGCCCAGCAGGACACCACUGUUUAGAAGACAAUAAACAAUAUUAAUAGUAAAGAAUUCGGGAGCAAGAAUGCUUUUGAAUGAAGACAUGCUGAAUGAGUAUACAAAGAAAAGGGGCUCCAGAAGAGUUAUACAGAAAUUCAAGAUAGCAAGUAUCAAAAAAAAAAAAAAAAAGAAAACAAAAGAAAUAGGCGUGACUACAUGGAAAUAAUUUCUGGCAAAGAAUAAAAGGGAGUAUUUCAAGCCACAUAAAUGCUAGCUCCAAACACAAAACUAAAUCUAGAAAGAUUCCUACAUCCACUCAAUCUUGCUUUAAGCAUCAGGAUUGACUGUAGAAAAUGAAAAACUGCAGUAAUAGAACUUAAUGAAAAUUCAGGAGUUCUCAUCUCUGAGGGAGUCUUCCCUUGCUUCACAGUGAUGCUACACAAAAACACAUGGGAAAGCUGAGACAAGGAAAACUGACAUAAAAUUAAAUUUACUGAUUUUCAAUGUCUGAAGGUUAUGGGAAAGCUCAGUGGGGGUUUUUCCUGUACGUGGUUGAUAAUAGAAGCCAGUUCCAUUCUGCUUCAGCUACCUACUUUUGUUAGCUGGAAGAAGGCCCAUAGUUGUUGCCCCCGAAAAAUUUCCACUGCAGAAGGAAAGUCCUCCAUUUUUAAGUUAUUUGACAUAAGCCUCUGAUGGGGGAUAAGAGGAUGGAAAGACUCUGCUGUCACAAAAUCAGAAACAAUCUCUUUUAUUUCUUUCUGAAACUGUAGGAUAUUGAGGAUAAAUAUGUCUGUGAACACCAUAGAGAAAGUUCCCAUCUCUCAGGGAUUCUUGCCUAGACACCCAGUGAUGCUACAAAAAAACACACGGCAAAGCUGAGGCAGUGAAAACAGAAAUCAAAUUCUCAAACUAGCAGGGUACUGGGGAUUAGUAUGUGAACACUGGUGGCUGAAAGUUCUCAGUAACUGAAUCCUGUAAAGCCAGCCACCUAUGUGUGUGUCUUAAUACAAACAAGUUGCUAGAAACAAGAAAGCUCAUCAGAAUCAUAAAAUCAUUUAAAAGUAUUAGUUGCAAGAGACCUUGAAGAUCAUCUGGUUUUAACCUCUGCCAUGAACAGGGAUAUCCUCCACUUAGAUCACUAUGGUCAAAGUCCUGUCCAACCUGAGUUUGAACACUUCCAGGAAUGGGGCAUGUACAACUUCUCUGGGCAACGUUUUACAGUGUCUCACUAUUUUCCUCAUAAAAAAUUUCUUCCUUCUAUCUAAUCUAAGCCUAUUAUCAUUUUGUUUAAAACCAUUCCCCUUGUCUUAUCACUGCAGGCUUUAGUUAAACCUCUACCUUCAGAGACCCCUUUAAGUAUUGACAUACCACAGUAAGGUCUUCUAUGAAUGCUCCAAAAAUGGAUUACACCCCUGAGCACUUAACAUUGAUUACUACCAUGAAAACAAAUUAUUUUCACCAUGCUGACAUGGCUUUUUCCUUGAUAAUGGCUUUUGUUUUUUUAAAUCUUGAGUUAUGUUAAACAAGUCUGUAACUCAAAAUUUCUCCAGUAUCCCAUUAAAUGUGCUGUAAGCAUAGCUACAUAGUUUCAAAAACCCAGUAUUCACAAGCAUGAUUAUCUCAAAUUAUCCAAAAAACCAUGAGAAGAAUAAAAUGAGGAAAAAAAUGUGGUCAGGGAAGGAAAAAGGUGUCUUUGGUAUUGAUUAUAAUAUUUUGACGUACAUCUUUACAUUUCUAAAGUAUAAAUUUAAUGGGAAAUUUCAGACUUCAUAAAAGGGCAAAUGUUUAUGCUUUAAUAUCAAGUCAAAUGCUUUUAAAAGUCUAAUGAGAAUUUCACUUCUUUAUGUCAAACCAGAAAUGGGAGAUAAAGUAAAUGUAGCGGGUAAGGGCUUUCCAGGCUAAAUGACCAUAUUUUGUCCAAAAUUUUUAAAUUUCUUUCUAAAAUAGAUUUUUUUUUAAUAUAAUAUCAGCAAAACCCACAUUGGAAGAACUCCUAAAGUUACAGAAUUGGUGACAUUUCCAUGAGAACAUCUGGCAGGUUUGACAGUUAAAUGACACAUGAUGUAAACAGAAAAAUAGUGCAAACCCCUAUUGAAAAAUUAUUUUUCUUCAGUUUGAGUCUGUAAGACCUUUAAAUGCCUGGCUGUAAGUUUUCUCUUACUGAAUAUGUUAACAUGAUUGACAGUAAAGGAAAUAUAUGUGUGGAACCUUUGAACAAAAAAAAAAAAAAAACAAAACAAAGACCACAAAACAGAAAAUACAAUUUAAUUCACUUCAAAAACAUACAUAUAUGUAUGUGGAAAUAUAUAUGUAUGCUUAUAUGUAUGCAUGCACUUAUAUAUGUGUUAAAGAAAGUAUCUUUCAGAUAUCUCUUUGAUAAUGUACCUCAUCAUUAGCUAUGGGAAUGUGGCAGAUUUCAAUUAAGAUUUAAACAUUUUUUACUUAAUCUUCUACUAAAUUCUAAAAAUAUGUUUAUUAUCUAUCCAGAUUGUAUGCAGUUAAGUCAUUUGAAAAAAAAAACAAACAUGUAUAUAUAUUAAUCUAUAUAAAUAAAAUCUAAAACAAAAUUUAAAACCCCUCAUAACACAUAGAUGCAUGGGAUUUUUUAAAUGCAUGCAUUUCUUAAAAGAUUGAUCUACCCUGUGUGUUGUUUUUAAUAAAGAAGUCUCUAAAAAUAUACAUGUUAACACAUGAUUUUAAUAGCUUUGUGGUCUCAGUUCUUUAUAAAUUGUUCUUAUAAAUGUCUAGAAAGAAAAAUAUAUCACUGAUUGCUGAACACUUUUUACCAUAUUGUUUUCUUUUACAGAUUUCUUUUGUUAAAAAUUAGGUCAAUAGUCAAUCUGUCAACAAUUUUACAGCAUGUUAUGAAAUAUUAAAUAUUAUUUAGAUUAAUUUCCUUUAUUAAUUUUUAAGAAAUAUUUACAAAAGGUUUUCUAUUUUCCUUAAGAAAAACAGCAUUAGGUCUUGAGGCUUGAUAUGGUAAAAAAAAUAGAAGCAAUGUGACUUUGAACUUUUUUACAGUGAUUGGGAAGAACAGAAUAUGAACUAUGACUCAGCCCAAAGAUUCUAUUUCCAGCCCAGUGAAUUGCAAUGAUUUAAAAGUUAUUAUUGGGUCAUAUUUUGGCCAAGCUCUUCCAGUACUAUAUUUUAAAGUAUCUUCAUAAAUGCUUUGGAUUAUUUAGAGAGCCAGGAAAUGGAAUUUUUGAUAUUAUGAAAAAAAUAGGUGUAAUACAUAGAGUUUGACAAAAAUGUUACAUAUCAAAUUAUAUAUCUGCACAAUUUUUCUACAUCCCUAUAGCCAUAAAUGACCUCUAUGUAAAAAUAGAAACAUAGUUCAAUUUGCAAAUAUAACUCAUUCAUUAACCUAUAAUAUCAGACCAAAUCCAGUAUAAUUUAAAUGAGUAGGUUGUUAUUUCAUUGCCCCCUGAAAAUCUGAAUGAAUAUUGUGCCUGAUUUGAUAUUCUUAUUAAAAUGAUACCUUUUUUUUUUUUAGAAAAUCUGCCUUUCAAAAGAAAAAUUAGUCCUAAAAAGCUGUAAAAACUUCAGCUUCCUGAGUUUUAUAUAUUAGCAUUUUAUCCUCUGAUUUGUAUUUUUAUAGUAACUAAUUAACAGGUGAAUGUCUUCUAAAACCUUACGUUUCAAAAUGUAAUUUUCUAUUACUGGUGGGUAACAAAUGAAAAUGAAGCAUGGUUACACUCCAAAACAAAGAGACAGAUAAGAAGCGCAUACUUGAUUUUGUGUGAGAGAAUGCUCCUCAUUUAAUGACCUCAUUUGUUCCCUUUCACAUAUUGGGUUUUUUAAUGUGAGAUCAUAGACACCAUUUCAUGUGCAGGAAUACCACCAUUAUUCUUCCUUGUAGUCAAUGCUUCUUCCUUUCCACACUUAUGCUUUCUGUACUCACCCUUCUCCUUCUUUCUGCCUCUCCCCUGUGGGAUCUCAGUAAUGAAAAGUGUAUAUGAAGGAAUAGGCAAUAAAUUCAAAUGAUCUCUUGAUUGUAAGUUUCAAAUGGUCAGCAAUGCCAGUCCUCAGAAAGCCAGCCUCCAGCCUUUUCUACUGGAAGGACAUGAGACCUAUGUUACAGGUAACUUCUCUGACUCUUGUCUGGAUAUGGCACAUGGAAGAAAACAGAAAACAAAUGUUGAAAACACAACGAAAGAUAGUAUAUUGAAAGGGCCCAUAUAUUUUCUCCCACAUAGUUAUUUCCCACAUCAUUCGUAAAUGUAUAUCAAUGAGAAUUGGUGCCCCUCGGGGAUUCGUGUAAUGAUGGAACAAUUGUUAUUUAAUAUCUUCAUUAAUGACAUAUUAUAAAGGGAUCAAGUGCUCCCUCAAAAAAUAUGCAAUGACUCCAAGCUGAGUGGUGCAUUUGGCACAAGCAAAGGAUGGAACAUCAUCCAGAGGGACCUGGACAAGCUCCAGAAGUGGGCCCACGGUAAUCUCAAAAGGUUUAGCACCAGCAAGUGCAAGGUUCUGCACUUGGAUCAGAGAAUGGUGUCAGUAUAGGCUGGGGUAUGAACAGAUCCAGAGCAGCUCUGCCAAGAAGAUCUUGCGGGUACUGAUGGAUGAGUGGCUGGACAUGACCUGGCAACACCCCCAAAAGCCAAACUUAUCCUGGGCUGCACCAAAGUAGCGUGGCCAUCAGGGUGAGGAAGGGGAUUUUGCCCCUCUGCUCUGCCCUUCUGAGAUACCACCUUCAGAGCUGCGUCCAGUUCUGGGGUCCCCAGAACACAGACCUGUAUUAUCAAAUGCAGAUGAGGCUCAGCAAAACAAUAAAAGGGAUGGAGUUUAUUACUUUUCCUGUGAGGAAAGGCUGAUAGAAUUAGGUUUGUUCAGCUUGGAAAAGGAAGACUUUGGGAUGACUAAACUGCAGCCUUUCAGUCCUAUAAGAAAACCUACAAAGAUCAUGUAGUGAAAAACUACAAAGAGCAUGUAGUGACAGGACAAGGGGGAAUGGAUUCAAACUGAAAGAGAAUAGGUUUAGAUUAGGUAUUAAAAAAUUAUUUUCUGUAAGGUUAGUGAGGAACUGGAAUAGGUUUCCUAGAGAAGUUGUGGAUAUCCCAUCCUUGGAAAUGUUCAAGUCCAGAUUGGAUGGAGCUCUGAGGAAGUUGAUCUAGUGGAAGGUGUUCCUGCCUCUGACAGGAGUUGUAACUAGGUCUCUUCCAACUCAGACAAUUCUAUGAUUCAAUGAUUCUAUUAUUAGUUCCUAUGGAGAAUUUUUUAAAAGAAAAAUCCUCUCUAGUCAAUAUUACUCAAAAUAGAGAUAUGUUACUUUCAGCAUAAUGAAGUGCUUCUUUUGGAGAAUGCCAAGAGGAUUUUUAAUAAUAACAUUAAUGGAGGAAGCUGAUUCAAUUUCCUUCUUAUCAAAUCAGACUACUAGUCUCAGACUGAAAUCUUACAAUUUUCUGAAGCUACAAGAAAUUCUCUGUAUACAUUAGUAAAACUGCAAAAUGAAUAUAUUUCUAUUCAUCUGUUUUUGCAACUAAUCCACCCUGUCCCACUAGUUCUUAAAAAAAAAAAAGAACCAAAAAAGGAUAAAGAACAACAGCUGUAUGAUGGUGAGAUUACAGAGAAUUAAGGUGAGGGAGAAUGGAAUGACCCAAAAAAGCAGUAAGGAGAACCUUGGCUCUGACCCUCUUCCUUCUCUGACAGAAAAAAAAUCCUGUAGGAUUCCUCUGGGACACUAACAAUCCAGAAUGAUUUCUACCUUUAUUCAUGCAGGUGUCUGUGAGCAGAGUACUCACUAUGCUUGGAAAACAUAUUUUAAAUGGCCUGAAAAUCAGUGUCUAGUCACAUUUUCCUAUUGAUACAGGCUCUUUUUUUUUAUGAUACUUUUUGAUUUUCUUCCUGUGGAACUGAAAUGAAUUUAAAUUUUUUUUUUGCAUCAAACAUAGAAAACAACUAAGGAAUUGAAGACUAAGUAUGAAGAAACUACUCACUGGGUAUAAAAUAUUCUCAUCUUUAAGAAAGCAUGGAUCUUUGGCAUUAAGGAAAGCUUUGCAGCAGGUCAUAUAUCUCAGUAUUCUAUGGAGUUUUGUAAAGCUUGUACCAGGAAAGUCAUAAGGACUCCUUUUAUACAGGUCUGAAGUCCUUGGAACUAAGAAAAACAAUAUCAUAAUUCAGAAAUAUAUAGAAAUAUGCCUUUCAUCCUGCCUGUUCGUUUUGGAGUGAUAUGUUAAGCAAUGCUCCACUUUCCUCAAACAUACUGUUGAUAUGUUAUUUAAUUAUAAUAGUUAAGAACUUAUUUUUCAAGCCUGAUUGCAAAAAAAAAAAAAAAAUUAAAAAUUUUCUUAUUUUAUAGAAAGAAGAAUCAAAGUGAAUGAAGAGUGGAAAUUUUAUUAUGGAAUAAAAAAUACCUUUACAUAGACUAGAUUAGAUGGGACUGUAAAGAAUGACAGAAGAUGAGCUAGUAAAAGGGGGAUAUGGAUGUUUGAGAAUGCACACAAAACUGCUGGUUUAUUUUCAUUUUUCUAUUUGAACCAAAGAUAUUAUGAAGUAUACUAUAUGAAUUGGAAUUUAUUGAGCUAUUUAGUUGAGGUUUUUAAUUAUAUUUUCCUUCAUGCAAAUUUAUUCCUAGAUUUUAAUCAAUAAUUUGCAUAUCAGGACUUGAAUUUCAUUAAAGCAUAGCCAAUGCCAAAAUUGCUUUUGCUAUUCUAAAUUUUUAGUCUUUUCCUCUCUCAUUGAAUGCUACCAUGUUUAUGGAAUUUUUGCCUCAUAUUCCUAGAUAGAGAAAUUCAGUUCUUGCAAUUGUUUCUAGGCUUUUCAACUUUAUUUCCUUUAUCUUAAUAUUUUACUCUGGCAAAUUGCAUCGGGUUUUUUCUUUGGUUUUUUUUUUUUCUCCCUAGCUCUGUCUUUCUAAAUAUUUUCAUGAAGAAUUUUUCAGCAAUUUUAAUUAAUAGUAAAAGAAUUUUUUCUGCGUGUGGAUGUUUCAAGCUUAACAUUAAAAUAAAGUUUUAUGUUUAAAAUAAGUUCUCUGUCAACUCCCAUAACACAAGGUGAUUCCCCCUCGCCCCCCGAGAUUUAAUUUUUCUUUCAAAUUCUGUUGCUUUAACUUUUUUUUUCUCUUACAGAUUCUCUAGUGGUCUUCCUUUUGUAGUCACUCAGUUGGACCUACUUUUAGCUGAUUUGUACUACAAUAUAUCCUAGUAUUACUGACUCCAAAAAUUUCUGUUAUGAAUCUAUCUCUAGUCCAAUACCUAUAAAUGUUACAUGGAAAUAUAGUGACAAAGGAUGAAAAAAAGGCUGAAAUACUUAUCUUCUCCUUUGCACCAGCCUUUAAUAGUAAGAGCAGUUGUUCUCUGGGUUCUGGUUAGAAGAGAGGGACAGGGAACAGAAUAAAGCCCGCAUAAUCCAAAGGAAAAUAGUCAGUGCAGCCAGUUUUCUGAAGACACCAAGGUAGGUGGGAGCAUUGAUCUUCCGGAGGGCAGGAAGGCUCUGUAGAGGGAUCUGGACAGACUGGAUUGAUGAGCCAAGGCCAAAAAAAAGAGGUUGAACAAGGUCAAGUGCCAGGUUCAGCACUUGGUUACAACAACGCCCUCCAGUGCUGCAGGCUGGGGACAGAGCGUCUAGAAAGUUGCCUGGUGGAAAAGGAGCUGGUGUUGUUGGUCAACAGCCUGCUGAACAUGAUCCAGAGUGUGUCCACAUGACCAAGAAGGAAAAUGGUAUCCUAGCCGGUAUCAAAAAAGUGUGGCCAGCAGGACUGGGGAAGUUCCUGUCCCUCUGAACUUGGCAUUGGUGAGGCCACACCUUAAAUCUUGUCUUCAGUUCCAGGCCCCUCACUACCAGAAGGACAUUGAGGUUCUAGAGUGUGUUCAGAGAAAAGCAACAAUGCUGGUGAAGGGUCUAGAGAGCAAGUUCUAUGAGGAGUGGCUGAGGAAUCUGGGGUUGUUUAGCAUCUCAGGGAAGACCUUAUCACCCUCUCCUAUAGAUAACCUGAGAGAAGGCUGUAGCGAGCUGAGGAUCAAUCUUGUCUCCCAAGUAAUAAGCAACAGGACAGGAGGUAACGGCUUCAAGUUGUACCAGGGCUUUGGAUAUUAGGAAGAAUUUCUUCACUGAAAGGGUUGUCACAGGCUUCCCAAGGAAGUGAUUGAGACAUCAUCCCUGUAGGUAUUUAAAAGACAUGUACACAUGGACUUUAGCAAUGUAGUUUAUUGGUGGACUUGAUGCUGCUGGGUUAAUGGUCGAACUUCAUGAUCUUGAAAGUCUUUCUGACCUAAAUGAUUCUAUGAUUCUAUAAGCUUGACGAUUUGUUAGUACAAUAGCUAUGAAUGUUAUUAGCCUAGAGUAGUAAUAGGAAAAUGUUAAAAUCUUCUAGCCUAAUGUAAUAUGUCAUAAAAAGUAGCUAGAAAGAACAGGAGAAAUAUAUUGACUUCUGUGUAAAGAUUAAAAGAACUAGUUUUAACAGGUAGAUCAUGACAAAGUAGGUCAUGAAAUUCUACAAAUAUUUGAAGGCUGCUAUGAUGUAUAGGGACUGAUUGUUUUGUGCAAUAGUGGAAUAACAAAUAAAAAUUAAAAGACCAUUUGUUGUUAAUAUGUGGGAACACUUGGCAGUAGGGAGAUAUUGAGGUCUUAUGGAGACUUAUAAAGAUAGAUUUUGCAUGGAGUUAGAAAAUAUCCAGUAAGCAAAAAUCCAAAUGACCAGUCUAUGAAUCUUCUCUGUCUCUCUUUUGUAAUCCCCUGCAUUUCUAUUUCAUUAAUUGGGUAAGAUCUGAAAUACCCUUCCAAAGUCAAUUGUUGAGAUCACUAUAUGCCAAUACUUGAAAAUACCUGGGUAGACCUUAGAAUAAUCUGGUAUUCUGGCUGAUCAUAAUGCAUCUGUGUUGAUUGAAUCCUCAUCAUCCUUUCCUGCUUUUCUCUUUGUAUCCCAAAAGAAUUCUGUAAACUGUCAGGCAGAUAUGCAUAUUACUAGAAAUUUGAAAGACAACCAAGAGCUGAAGCAGUACAAAUUCCAAAGGAACACUCACGUGAAUCAGUAAUUGUUUAAUUCUCAUCUGGAUAUUAAAACAAUAUAUUAAGAAAGACCAAAACACAUGUGUGACACAGACAAAUAUGGGUCUUCGGCAUAUCUGGAGUGAAAAGCACCACUAAAUAAUUGCCUGUGAUGUAGUAAUCUCUUAUUUAUUUUAUUCUGAUUGUUUAUUGACAUAUCUCUUCUCUCCUAGUCACAAUGACAAAAGAGUCCAUUGCAGCAAAAAGGAGAACCUUUGAGAAAAAGUAUUUUCUCAAAUGCAAAUUAAAACUGAGGGAAGAAAUGGAAAAUUAAAAGGGCCUUAGUAGAUAUUCUCCAAUAUCAGAAAACUAUUAUAUACAACAACUAGAACUUUUGUCUUAAUUGGAGAAAACAUAGAUUUUUGUCAUUGUGGUAAUUUCUAAUUCAGUUGUCAGCUUCUUCUAUAUAAAAAAAAACCCAAACUGCUAAUGAUCUUCAAGAAUGAUAUAACAAUGUAUUCUAACAAAUCACUUCUUUAAUCUAUAGUUUCUAAAUCUCUGAUUUCUUCUAUUUAAAUCUAGUCUAUGCUAUUUUAUUGAUUUUAAUUUUUGUGUUCACUGGAGUUCUGGGUUUUUAUGGGUUUUUUGUUGCUUUUGUUUUUUUUUUGUUUAAAAACCAUAACAUUUUAACAUAUAUUUUAUUUAUAUUUCUCCAUAAAAUAAAGAUGCAUAGCUUAUGUUGUAUUCUUUUUAAGUCCUCCUAAUCUUUUGGUUCGGUUGUUUAUUUGUUUGCAUUAUAUUCUUUUACUAUGGGUUCAUCUAUGAGAGCAGAGAAUACUAUUGGUUUUCCUUAAGAUGCAGUUUCAAAAGUUAUCCUUACCCAUCCUGCAGAUGCUCACUAUAUUUUUGGGAACUUGCAACAAUUUUUUCUUCUGUUGGCUAAUCUUAAAUGUAAUAAAGUUGCAAUGCAUUUAAAUUAUGAUGCUAAGAGUCAUCCAAAAGGUUAAGAAAUCCCCAGACUUUGAAAUUAUGAAAACUUGUCUGGAUAACAUCUGACUGACCUGAUAUAUCAUUGAAGUCAGCAUUCUUUGAGCACAAAGUUGUACUAGGUGGACUUCAGACAUGCCUUCCAAUAUUUGAUAUGAUAUAUUUUGUAUUUUGUGAAAACAGCUGUCAGGGGGCUACAGAGAGUUGUUCUCACAUCAAAACUCAACCAAGUGUUUUGGGGGCCCAGACAAUGUCAAAGCUCAGAAAUCAGGCCAGGGUGCUGGGUUCUGAAGGCAGAGAGCAACCAGACAGGUCUGGUGUGUGUAGAAAGUUGUGGCUUAUCAACAAUUCUGAGGUGUCUUUAAAUAGCUGGUGAUGAACAUCUGAGUCAUUACAUAUAUACAAGGUUGAGGACUGACCCUCCAACUUCUCCAGAGCAAUAGAAAAGGUUAGUUAUGAUUCUUGUGUGAGACCUCAGCCAGAAGCUUCAGCACAUAUUUAAACUGCGGCCAGUAUUUAUCAGGUCUGUAUACACAUUUGUUAAUUUGUAAAUAACAGAAGUUGUUAGAAAACUGAAUCCAUUGUGGAAAGCCUGCUAAGAUGAAAUUGGAAAUGAUCCAUGCACCAUUUGGAAGGGUCUUUGUGUGUAGUUUCAAUUCUAGGAUAAAACUGUUAUCACCAUUGUUUCCAAUUAUGUGUCAAGUAUUUAUGAGGGUCCAAGUUUAUUUAUUGUUCUUAUUUGAGUUUAAAGGAAGCAGAUUUGGUUUGGUUUCGUUUGGUGAUUUUUUUUUAAAAAAUUAAAUAUUCUAGAAAAAUGAGAGUAUUCUAUCUCAGAGAUUUAAAUUUCUAGUGAUUUAGACUUCCACAUUCAGAUUUCUUGAUAUUUUUUUUUUAAGAAUUAAAAAUUAGAUCCAAAAAAAAGGAGGCCAUAGCACAUCUCAAUUUGCCAGUUUGUUUUGUUAAUAAUGCCUAUGAAAAUACUUUUAUUAAUAAAAAAUCCAACAUUAAUUGUUUCUACCACAUUCAAAAAACUCUAAGACUUCUCUCAGACUGUGGUACAAUGAAUGCAGAAUCAUGCAGAAAGACAUUAGCACAAAAAUUCAGGAUGGUAUUAGAUUAACAAACCUUAUUCUUUACUUGUAGGCAUGGAUGUUUAGCCAAAUACAAACUCAUACCCAUUUAGCUAGGUUAGCUAUGUUGUGUCUUGCUCUGUGUCAAUUCUGCUAUAAUUAAUUUUUAUUCCUUGUGAUUGAUGGCGUGUUGUGGAAAUCUCUCUCUCUCUCUCUCUCUCUCUCUCUCUCUCUCUUUAUAUAUAUAUAUGUAUAUAUAUGAAUAUAUAUAUGUAUAUAUAUAUGUAUAUGUGUAUAUAUAUAUAUGCAUAUGUAUAUAUAUAUAUAUAUAUAUAUAUAUAUAUAUGCAUAUGUUUUGUAGGUUAAUAUACCUGCAAUGCUGAAGGUCUGUCUGACAUGUAAUAGUGACUAAAUGCUGUUUAUACUACAUUAAUCAAUUACCAGAAAAAGAAAAAAAGAAUAAGCUUCUCACUGCUUCUGAUCAGGAAUUCACACUGGACCUGAUAAAUAAUGCUAACUAAAGGUCUUCCAGAGAAGUUACACCUUGACAAAGCUUCUUCCCUUCACCCCAAACCCUCUACCCACCUUAUAACAAUAGAAUUUUCUGAAGGAAAAAUUCAGCUGUUGCAGUACCUGUCAUAGGAGUAGAAAGCAAAUUAGAAAGCUUCUAGUAAAAGCUUAUCUGAAGAUUGUUUCCUUGUGCAUGCUUGAUUUGAAGAAUUCAUUCCUUCAUGUUGUUGUGGAAACCAGGCAAAAAGAAUUCGGGGAAGGGAGCAGGACAGUAGUAAUGAAAAGAUUUUCUACCUGUCAUGCAGAAAGAGAUACUGAACUGUACAAAGAUGAAGAACUUAGUAAACAUUUCUCACUAUUGAUGUUUUUAUUACUCAUUCAAACUUGCUUACAAAAUUCUACAAACUUUCCAUUUGUCCAUUUGCUUUUUCGGUGUUCUCAAUACCUAUGCAAAGCUUACAAGUCUUUAAAAUAUACACAUAUUUUAUUCUAUAUAUUAUGAAGAAAAAAAAGCAUUGAAUACUUUUUAUGUAGUCAUUUGUGAAAACACACAGUCAUCCCUGAAUGUUCCUUUCAAUCAAAACAGAAGGCAAGCAAAAUAUUUUUAUAUCCUGAUUCUUUCUCGUUUCAUGCGUUUCAACAAUUCACAAAUUUGUCUCACUAGUUUGUGCCUUCAUUUCCAAAUAUAAUCUUAAUACAGUUUUUAAAUGAAGGCAAACUACACUUAACAGCUCUGAAGCAAUACAUGCUGUGUAAACACAACUUGUGCACAGUUUUCAUUAAAAAUUCAAGGCUGAGUUGGCCAUCAUUAAAUUAUGUGGGGAAAAUAUCAGUAAAGUUAACAGGAGUUAGAUCAGGUUGCCUGCAAUUCACUGGCAGUUUAGUAGAAGAUAUUUCAUGAACUUCAAGUCUUUGAGGUUCUAAGAACUGUAUUAUCUUUCCCUUUUAGUUACAAUAUUUUUUAUUUACCAUAUUCUUAGAUCUGAUGCAAAUAAUGGAGUUAAAAUAUUUGGAACUACUCAAUCAGCUCUGUUAUAUAACCGAUGGAUCUUGCCUUGGUUGUCUUGCUUCUUGCUUUAAGAUUUAUGUAAUUUUAUUUUCAUAUAAUUAAUUCAUUUCAGCUAUGAAUCUAUCUUUGGCUAAAUUUCUCAUAUGCGGUUCUGAACACAGACUUCAGUGACAAUUCUGUAACCUUUUUAAUAUUUGAGCCUAUUAAUUCAUAACCUUAGUUUUUCUUGUUUAAGUCUUCUCCUUCACUGUAUAAUGAAUUCACGUAUAAACUCUACAUAGAGACAAAGAACAUUUAUUUGCUGAGGCUAGUGUUAUUAAAUAUAUUAACAUAUUUUAUUGUGGGAAGCAGUCAGUUCAUACUUACAUAGACAGAGUUCCAUGAUGUCAUAUGAAGAUCUUUUAAUGACAAUUCCAAACAGGACCCUUCAUAGAAGUGUAUGCUGACAUUUGGCCUGUAUCCCAGGAAACCAAAAGUCAGAGUACUGAUAGGGGAAAUAUAGAACUGGAUACAUCAAAUGCUUUUAUGUCUGUGUUCCUACUGUGAACAGUUGUUUGCUUUAUCUUAAUACAAAGACAGUAUUCAUUGAAAGGAGAUUGGCCAUUUGCUUUGUCAGCAUGUACUGAAACAGAAAAAAAUCUAUUUUUUUUUCCUUAGGCUAAAGCUACUUAACAGUUAUCAUUACCAGAUAUAAAGUACUCUAAUUUUCUAACUAAUACCAAUAUUUGAGGAAACAGCAACACUGAAACAUGCGUCAAUAAGAGUUUCUUGCCAGAGUUACCCAAGAACCACUGCAAUGCCUAACUUAAAUGGGCUGUCUUAAAUGGGGCAAAAAUCAUGCCUUACACUACAACCUAACUUUGAAAGUUAAAAUAUUUCUCCACUUAGUCAAUAUGAUUUUGGUAGACAGAAUAUCUUGUCUGGGCUUGUUUUUUUUUUUUUUCUAUUUUGUGGUGACAAUGAAUUUUCCAGUGACGAUGAAUUGUCUAUUCUAUAACCAAUUUCACUAAAUGCAUAUGCAUGUGUGUAUAUAUAUAUAUAUGUAUGCACACACAUGUACAUGCCAGAGUACUGAUUUAUUAUGCAUUUUUGUUUCUUGGGUAUUACAUCAAGUUUGCAAAUAGAAAAUACAGUAAAGAUGCAUGUUUCUUUUAAAGGCUGGGAUAAUCACAUGGGAGGAGAUUCUGCCACCUCUUUCCAGAUCUGCAUAGAUAUUUUAUAAUACCUAGUCAUGGGAGAUGGAUCAGAUGGGAGGACUGAUUUAAGUUUCUUUUCUGAAUAUUACAAAGUUCAAUGAUUAAAUUAGACACUAAGUUUUUUCUAGGUUUGGUGGUGAAAGGACCUUCAUUAAAAUUUAAUCCAAAGAUAAUUGCGUGUUCUGAGUUUGUGUAGAAAUGUAUCAGGGGAAAGCUACAGGAGUGGCUUUUGUGAAAAGCUGCUAGAAACUUCCCCUACAUCUGAUAGAGCCAAUGACAGCUAGCUUCAAGAUUAGUUUGCCACUGGCCAAGACUGAGUCCAUCAGAGACAGUGGUGGUGUCUCUAGGACAAUACAAUUAGGAAGAGGGGAAAAAACCCAAAAUAAGUAGGCAACUGCAGUUAUAAAGAGGAGCACAAAGUUGAAUGUAUUAAUAUAUGUUCAGGUGAGAAUACCCACAUACUUCCCCUGAGGAUAAGAAUUUUACACUGUUAUGCAACACCGUGCAUCUUGCACAGUCCUUCAGUGGAAGGCCCCAGAAAUUUAUCUGAUUUAUGACACCUUGUAGGAUAUGACCACCAUCCCCACAGCCUAGCUGAAUCAGAAGGCAUUAACAUCUUCACACUAACAUGUGAAUGUCCUGAUACAUUCCCCGGGGGAAGGGGGAGUUUUAUACCUGAGCCAAUACUAAGGGAUAGUAAAAAGCAUUAUGCCACCUCUGCAGGAUCUGCUUCUUCUCAACCUUGUCAUCCAUCUGACUCAAAACCCAGCUUGCUGCUAAACAAAGUUUAGUUUGUUGUGGUCAUCUUCUGGUGGUGAGUGUGCAGCUUUUCUGCAUUAGGGCCACUCUUAUGCAGAUAGAGGUUUUGCUAUCAUACACCUAAGAACUCUCCUCCCCUCCUUUGGCUGGAGGGUACAAAUCUGGCCUAAGCAAAGCCCCUGCUGCUUUUUCAACUGGCCAAUUAAUUGAGACAUUAAUCUUUCAUAUUUCAGUCUCUAACACAUGGUGAGGCAGCUGUGCCCCUGCAGCUCAUGGAGGUCCACGCUGGAGUAGAGAUGCACCUGCAGCCCACAGAUGACCACACAUCAGAGCAGAUGGGUGUCUGGAGGAGGCUGUGACUGUGGGAAGGCUGCACUUUAGCAGGCUCUUGGCAGGACCUGUGGGCCCGUGGAGAGCAGACCUCGCACUGAAGCAGGUUUGUUGGAAGGACACACAACCACACAGGGGACCCAUGCUGGAGCAAUCUGUUCCUGAAGGACAGAGCCCUGUGGAAAGGUCCCAUGCUGGAGCAGUUUGUGAAGAACUGCAGCCCAUGGGAAGAACCCAAAUUGUAGAAGCUCAUGGAAGAUUAUCUCCUGUGAAAGAGAGAUACUACAGGGGAUCAGGGGAAGAGUGGGAGAAGUCCUCCCUCUAAAGAGGGGCAAAGACACCAUAUGAGGAACUGAUGCCAAGCCCAGUACCCCUGCAUUGCUGGGUAGCUAGGAGUUUGAGAAAAAAUUUGAGUGGAUUUAGGGCCAAGAACAAGGCAGGAGUGGGGGGGAAGGUGUUUUGACACUGACUAAAUGCCAGGCACACACAAAAGCAAAACUGGUGGUGAUUGUGUGCACAAUGGCAGGCAGCGAGCUGUUCAUGAGCCAGCAGUGCCCUUGUGGCCAAGAAGGCAAAUGUUAUCCUGGGGUGCAUUAGGAAGAGCAUUGCCAGCAGGUCAAGGGACGUCAUCCUGCCCCUCUACUCAGCCCUGGUGAGGCUACAGCUUGAGUGCAGUGUCCAGUUCUGGGCUCCUCAGUGCAAGUGAGACAUGGAGCUCCUGGAGCUGGAGGGCAACAAAGAUAAUUAAGGGAUUGUAGCACCUCUCUUACAAGGAUAGGCUGAGAGAGCUGGGCCUGAUCAGCCUUGAGAAGAGAAAUCUGAGAGGGAACCUCAUCAAUGUGUAUGAAUAUCUAAUGGGAGGAUGUCAGAAGGAUGGGCCAAGCCCUUCUUGGUGGUGUCAAGCAAUAGGACAAGAGACAAUGGGCAGAAACAAAUGCACAGGAAGUUCCACCUGAACAUGAGGAAGAACUUCUUUGCUGUGUGGGUGACCGAGCAGUGUAACAGGUUGCCCAGGGAGGCUGUGGAGUUUCCCUCACUGGAGAUACUCUGCCCUUGGGACAGAAUCGUGUACCAUGUACUCUAGGAUGACCCUGCCUGAGAAGUAAGGUUGAACCAGAUGACUCACAGUGGUCCCUUCUGACUUUACUAAUUCUGUAAUUCUGAAACCUGGACACCUAGUUCUACAUCAAACAAUCAGAAUAAAUUUUUAUUCCUUCAGACUGUCAGCAAAAAUGCCUACAUUCACUCCUCACUGCAAAGGUUUUCAUGGCUCAGCAGGUUAGGUUUUGUUUUCUUUUUAGCUAGAAACAUUGUGUAAUGCCUUGAUUUGAUAUAAGACUAUCUCUUAAACUAGAAAUAAAUAUCCAUGUGACUGAACUGUAAUAAAUCCAGAAAAAAAAAAAAAGAAAAAAAAAAGGAAAAGUAUGCUUCUCCUUGUUUUUCUACCAAACAGAUAGGUUUAAGGCAGAUCUCAGGGGUGUUAUUGAAGAAGUUAAUCAAAUAGAUAUAAACAAUUGGAUUUUAAACAGCUAAGACAAGUAGUGUUUCUUUAGUAUUUUCAUAUAUUUCUGCUCUUAAAGAUCUCCUACUGCAAGGCAAGACAAACCUUAAUAUAUAUGCAAGUGUGUUUAAGUGUGUGUGGGUGUAUGAAUAUGCACAGUAUCAGUUUCUUUCAUAGUAAGAACCAACUGCAAAUGCCUUACAGCUUUUUGUACUAGAUUUUGUCUUUCCAUUUUUAUUUAAUUUUUUAGAAAUAUGGUUUACUUCUCUUGCCUUUUCCUCCAGGCUAUUGUUUAUCCCAAUGGAAAAAUUUCUUAUAACCAGGAUUUGUAUCUUAAGCAUAAAUACUGACAACUUGCCUAUAGCUAUAUUGCCUAUAGAAGCAAUUACAGAAUGACUGGAUUGCACAUGAGCAGACCAGAAUCAACUUUUUAUUGCAAAUGUCUUUUAAAUAGAAAUACAUUACCAUUAGAAAAUGUUGGUUUUGGCUGCAAAGUUAAAGGCAGAACAUCAACAAAUCUAAAAUGCUUUCAUCCCUGAGGGAAGAAAAUAUUCCAUUUUAUGAAAUAAGAGUGUGGAAAUAUAAAAAAGCAGCUCAUAAAAAUCACUGACUAACCAGGUCUCUUUUCCCAUAUCUAACAUCCUCCCCCACUCUCCCCUCUGAACAGACACAAUGCUUUCCAUAUAAUUUUUCUACUUUGAGCAAGCAUUUUAUUAACCCAUUGUAUUUUAUUCCUCUAAAACUGUUUGGUACUGUACUAGUUCUCUUCAAAAUUGUUUAGAACAAAAUCUUACUUCUAUAGUACCUUUUUACACUGCCUUUGUGCUAAAGCUUUCCCUCAUGCCUUUGUAAGAUAAAAAUCAAUGACUAACUUUCAUCAUAUUACAAGAAUUGCAGUGAUUAAUAUUAUAGAUUAAAUGUUCCAAAGGACAAGUCUUUUCUAGAAGGUACUGCAAAGUCAGAUGUCUCAUCAUUCCAAGAAUGCCCACCCCCACCCUAGUGACUUGGGAGGUGCUAUUUAGGCUGGUGAAAAGUUAUAACUAAAGAAAUAAAAUUUUAACAAUGACUAAAUUUUAUCACAAAUAUAUAUCUAGUUAUAUUUUGGUUUAAGAUAGAUAAAUUGCCCUUAUAUUUAUAGAUGAAUGUGGUAUUUUGUAUCUCUAUUUUAUUUUAAAUUAACUUUCUAUGACUCUGCCAAAAUAGACAACCUUGCUUACACACAGCCUGAAUAAUUUAAUUCAUUGCUGCAUAGAAAUUGCUAAUAUAUGCAUAAAAUUGCUGUAGGAGGAGGAUCUUUGGACUAGAUUGAACUGGCAAACAGAUGCUUUUCUAUUUAAGCAAUUUCUACUUUCUCUGUUAGGUAGCUUGAGUUCUAACACAAACACCUGUAUAUGUUCAAGUAUGUGCAUUUGUUUCUGAUCAGGUGAACAAGUAAGGAGAAAAAAAGAAUUUAUAAAUUACUUUGGGGAGGAAACUGUAACAGAAAAAUAUUAGGUUCAACAAUCUGUAUGAUCUAUACUUGAGUGUCAAGAAAAUUAAUUUAUUACUAAUAAAUCCAGCAAAUGCUUGAUAGUUGAGAUUUUAUUUUUCAACAUUACUUUAGAUAAAUUCCCUAAAUCAAGUAAAUCAAGUAUAAAGCUAUCAUUAAAAUAUUUCUGAUAAUAACACCCCAUGUAGAUUAGGUUUGAUCUUGUCAGUCAACUCUGAACAGAAGUCACAUGCCUGCAUUAUAAAGAACCUUCCCAUGACUCUAAGAAUUCAGCUUUCCAAAACAAAAUGAGAAAUAGAAUCCUUUUAAAGAAAGAUGAAGUCCUAAAGGACGUUCUGCUUUUUCAAUUAUUUGUAAAUUCUUAAAACAUUUAUACCCUUCAGUUCAGAUCUGUGUCCCUAAUUUAUAAUUAAUAUGUACAACAGAUCUAAAAAAAACCCCAGAGUAAAUAAAACACCCUGAAUUUUUUUAUAUAUAUUACACUGAGUUAAUUUUCAAUGAUGAAUUUUAAAGAAGUCAGCGUUUUUAAAUUUCCCUCUGUUAAUGCCUCUAUUGACUCUAUACUUAAUAUUUAAAUGUAGAGAGCUUCAUCUGUGGUUAGUUUCGAUACUAUUCAGAACUCCCUGAAAAGAUUGUUUAAAAUAUAUUAAAAAUUUUCAUUACUUCCCAUUGAAUUUAAUGUUUUGUUUUAUUACAGAAAGUAUAAGAUCAAUACAGAGAUCACAUUGUCACUUUAAACAGAUCUGGAUUUGCUGAAGUUUGUUGAUGAUACCAACUAAAAUUUAAAGAAAAAUGAACUUCCCAAUCUAAAUAAUAAGGACUUCAAAUUUUUAAAAACGCUACAUAUGCACGAAUCUGCUGCUUCCAAUAGAAAUUAAAAUCCUAUCAUUUUCAUAGUUAGUUGACAUUCUUAAACAGCAUUCAACACAGCAGAAUGUCAUCUUUCUUCUGGCUUCUUGAUAUCCUUUCAAAUAAUAAAAAUACAAGUGAUUGGUGUCAAUACCAGCAUCACAACAUUUCAGCAUUUGGCAUCAGAGAAAAAAUUAUUUUCCUGUGUUAAAUAUAUUAUUAGUACAAUUCCUGCUAGAGUAGCCCUGCCUGGGUAUGAGUAUGGGACAGUAAGAAAAGUACCACUGACAUAUCAAAACAAAUUGUCCAUUAAUAAAUAUGACACUUAGAGGUAUAUUUUAAUUACUUUUAUUUGACUAAUUAGAAUUAAUGGUAAAGUAAUACAUAACUGUGUUUUGCUCAGAAAUUUUGAGAUGCUCAAAAUACAGACCUGGUUCCCAGAAUACAUUUUACUGACACCCCAAAACACUGCUGUCUUAAUAAUUUAGUUUUCUACUUGCUACAGCAUUUCUUAAGACAUGGAGUUUGCAGAAAUUAUGUUUGACUGCUGUCUACAGUGUACUGGGAAGUAGGACUCAAAUGAUAGUAAGGGCUUGUAUCUCUCUGGACACUAGAGAAAAAUAAUCUUUGGUCUGAGCUAUCUUCAAUUUAGCAAAUUAAUCUUUUCCUGACUUAUUGAGAUAUGAUUUAAAGGGCACAUAAUAUCUACACUGUGUUUGAUGGGAAAGUUGAAAUACAAACAAGACUGUGGAAUGUCUAAUGUUGUAAAAACUGAAGUCAUUCAAGCAUGUCAGGAUACAAAGUUUUGGAAAAAGGAAAUUACAUUUAUUUAUCUCAGGAGCUUUCAGGAAUAGGUGGCAACUUAGUCAAGGCUGUGAGGAGCUACAGUUUGAAUUUAGUUAUCAAAGUUGAGACAUUCUUUUUUGGUUAAAUCUCUGGUUGCAAUGGUUUAAUAACUGACAAAUAUUUAAAUAAAAUAUCAGAAACACUUUUUUUAAUAUCUGAGUUGUAGUCUUUCAUAGAUCUGCUGUCAAAUGUAGCUUACAACAUUCUUUUAAAGUCCAUCAGAAGAUGUAGUCGUGCCUAAAUUGAGAAGUAUUUCCCUAUGUUUUGUCUUCUAAAAAAAAGAUUAGAUCAAACUUCCCACAAUUAAAAGAAUAUCACCUAUUUUCCAGAAAAACAUAAGGGUAUCCCAAGCUUAAGCUAUUUUUCUUUUAAGCUACAAGACUUUAUAAAUGACCAUUUGGUUAUUCUUAAGUCACUAACAAAAAAAAAAAAUCAUUAUCAAAUUAUCUUAGUUGCCAUUGUACCUUGAGGAAAGGCAGGAUUUGAUUUCAGAUCUCAGAGAUGCUACUAAAAAGAAAAUACCAAUAAUCUGUCCUGAGCCUUAACUGUUAAUUUUGAGAGUUAUUUUUUCCACGGUCUCAAUAAUAAGUGAGACUGGCCUAGAGGCACCUUAAACUGAUCAUAAUUUAACAUGAACUUUGGAUUUUGCCACAUUAUCAUCUAUGAUUGAUUUACUAAAAUUCGCUGCAGACAGGAUAGGAAGGAAAAAGGAGAGGAGAUUUAAUGCUAUUGCAUAAAAAGCAGACUGCAUUAUUCUUUGACAUUGUAUUCCAAAGUCUUAUUCAGUGCUCAGAGUGUGAUACUUGUAAAAAACAGUGAGUUCCACAACUUUGGUAUAAACUAGUAACAUUCAUAAAUUUAUGUAUUAUUAUCUAUGUUUUAACAGAUUUAUGGUUUAUCCAAAGUAGUACAAAAUAUCAAUUUUCAAAGAGACUUGGUGCAUACAUAAAAGACCUUUUCCUUAGUCAUACACUGCAUGGGCAAAUUAAAAAAAAAAAGGCUUGCAUUUAUAGCUUGUUGUUACUAAAUCAUUUAAGUAUCUUUCUAUGUGAGUAAAUUUUAUUUCAUUACAUGUGUCAGAUAAAUGUCGACUAAGUUUCUUCUAAGUAAAAGUCUUGUGAAUCUUGGAUAAUAAUAAUAGCAAUAAUACGUUUAAAUGGCUUUUAAACCACAGUUUUUGAUAACAGCAUUUAAGUAAAUAAGCAUAUAUUUGGUAACAAAAAGAAUCAUUCUAAAGGGAGAUUUUCAUCCAGAAAACCCAAUCAGAUAAAUGAUUUUUCAUGUUUACAAACUAAAAGAAUAAUUAGAAUUUGCUAUGAAAUAACCUAUCAGUACUUGUAUGAAAUUGCAAAGUUACUGUAUUUGAAAAUUGUUUUUGAUCUAUUUUCUGGGAAAAAAAAAACAUUAGAGGAAAAGAAAUUCUACUGAAUAAAAAAUUAAAGCUCCAGUUAAUCCCUAGUUCAGGUUUACUGCCUCUGGAGGGUGUGCAGUGUUACUGACUGCAUAAGAGCAGCAACUCUUGCCUCAGUAAUAAAAUAGACUGCAAACAUUUUCCAAUUCAGUUUUAAUGUAAAUCAGUCUUGCUUGUCUUGUGGCCUAAAAUGCUCAUAAAAUAAACAUUUUUUUUUUCUCCCCAUGUUGAAUUUUGCUGAUGCUGCUUAAAUUUUUCUAUGGAAAAGGUGACCAAAAUAUUGUGACAGAUCAGAAGAUACUUAUUCUCAUUCUAAAAACCAGGAAAACAGAAAGUAAGUUUGAUUUUUGAAAGGGCUGCAUGAUUCUUGAUCAAUAUUCCAGUGAUUUUCAAUGGAUUUGGAUCUGGAGUUUUUAAAGGAUGUGAGUAUUGUGCAGAGAUGUUGGCUUGCAUUGACCUAAAUUGAACCAGCUUUGGGACUGUAAGGAAUAUAGCUCUGCUAAGCUUACUCUAACUCAUGAAUGAAGCUGAGAAAAAGGCUUAUUGUGGGUGAAGCAUGAUGAUGACACACCCUGUGGCACACGUGUCUGAGAGGGCAGAGUGACUGCAAACAGUUAACAUGGUUCCUGCAGCAUUACUGGGUAAGUUUAGUUUACUUUGUGCAAGCUCCAUAAACAUUUUAGAGCCACCCAGUGAGAACUUGACACCUUUGUGAAUACUCAGAUCCUUUCAGUAUGUGGUCACAUUAAAUUUAUAAAAGGCACUCUUAAGUAGACAGCAAAGGCAAGGAAGAAUGUUGUCUAUCAAGAAAUCCACCUCCUGGAUGGAGAUUUUGGACUGCCCACUGAUUUACCUUCAGACUUAGCAGGCUGUGGCAGGGUGAGUAGGUCACUUGGUAAGGGGUAGUGGUAGCCUGUUUAUUAUUCAUGAAUUUCCCAGUUAUCAAUAAUUUCAUGGAUCCUCAUGUAAAAUGUUCCUUUGGCCCUGGCAAGUAUCGCCUUAGAAGACCAAAAAUGGCAACAGCGGCUCCCUUGUUGUCAUGAGAAUAUACCAAAUCUAGGGUAAGAACUUCACCAGAAGAACUCUAACCUCAUACAUAUUCCAAAUACUCUACACAUUGCUUAUCAGAUUAUCAAUAUUUAUGAAUUUCCUGUGUUUUAUUUUCUCAAAAUAUACUGACAAACUUGAAUAUAUUUGAGUAAGAUACAACAAAAAUGGUUCAGUGUAGAUUUACAUGUGUGAUAUAUGAGAUCAUACAGAAUGUACAGCUUUAGUGAAUAUUUCUAAAUAUAUAUAAUUCUGAGCAACACUUCUUUCUCCCCUUCAUAAUAUUACUGGAUAUUUUACAAAGAAAAUUUUGUGUUUGUUCUUCAGUUUCUACAGAAUAAAAUAGAAUUUUAAAAACAAGAUAGAACUUCCUUAAUUAAAUCUCCCUGUAUUCUUAAUUUACAAUAAAUUAAAUAACGUUCCACAAGUUCAGUCUGUUUGGUCUGUGAUAGUAAUUGGUAAGUCCUGACCUCAUAGUCAGACUCAGGGGCCUGGUUGCUAUCUAUGGGUCAGGACCUGAGCUGUGGCUGAUCACCAUCUUCAGAGUACUCCAUUGCUAAAAAACCACAACUGCAGUUUUUCUUUCUACAGAGUAUUUAGGAUGUUAGGAAAAAAUUCUUCACUGAAAGAGUUUUCAAACAUUGGAAGAGAUUUCUCAGGGAAGUGGUUGAGUCAUCCUGCCUGGAUGUACCUGAAAGGUGAGCAGCCGUGACAUUUAAUGACAUGGUUUAUUGGUGGACUUGGCAGUGCAGGGAUAAUGAUUGGACUCGAUGACCUUAUAGUCUUCUUCCAACCUAAAUGAUUCUAUGAAUCCAUGAUUUAAAAGUUUUUAAAAAACUAGUCUAUCCUAAGUUCUAAAGCAAGGCAAGGAAAGAGAAUGUAUAUAUUUUUUAGGUAUUUUAAAAGAAAUAAUUUUGUACGUUUUUUCUCUGAGACGAUCAUCUCAUAUUGUAGAUGAAAAAAUAGCAUAAAAUAUUAGUUCUAAAAGAUAAACACAUUAAUGACAUUAGAAGACUUUGUAAACAACACUCUGAACUUCAGUGCUAUUGCUCUUUAAUGUGCUACAUACUUUUUGAGAAAUUAUGUUAUAUUAAUUACUUUUCUAUGUUGCUUGUACAAAAAGCUGCCAGCUGUUUUAUAAAACUUGUAAGAGUAUAGCUUACUCUUGUGAUUUUUGUAUUUGAAUACCAUCAUACUGCAAUUGUACAUGAGUAAUUAUACGCAUCACUAAUCCCCAUCUUGCUCUCAAUAAGUCUGUUCAUAUGAAUAAUGUUUACAUAUUUUGCUUCUAAAUAGGAAAUCAGACAAUAAAAAUAAAAGCUGUAAAAAAAUAUUUUAAUAAUUAAAAAACCAAAAGGCACUAUAAAGAGCAAAAAACCUACAAUGAAAAUCCACAAUGAAAACCCUGCUCCAGGAUUUGAGCUCAAAUUUUUAAAUAGUUGUUUUUCCUUUCUUGAAUAUUUUACCUUUCAUCUUUCCUGCAUCUAUUUAUCAGCUACCUUUUAUGAAGCCUUGACCCUGAAAAUACUUUGAAAUAUGAAUAAAGAUUCUGAGAAAUAGAUUACCAACAAGUAUAAACCAGGAUUUUUAUAUGAAGAGUUGUCAAUGUUGCAGUUAGUGGUUUUAUUUACAGUAAAGCUUUUAUAAAGACUUACUUGCCAUAAAUUUAAAAGUCACCUGAUAAAAUAAAUAUUCAUAAAAUUCUUUAAGAAUUAACCCACUUAUGAUCUACUAACAAGCACUUUAUUUCCCUCAAAAUUAUAAUUUUAACAAAAUAAAGACAUAGGCAUUCUUCUGCUGCUCCGGAGUUAUAUUAGAGCUGUGUGAUAGAUCAUGUCUCUGUUAAAAGAUUUAGUAACUGCAUUUGGCAUAACACAAAUUUUAAGAUGUUCAGUCUCAAGGAUAAAUGAAAAGAUUGGUUUUCAAUACUAAAAAUUACAAUAAACAAUUUCAAAAUAUGUAACUGAAGAAGAUUUGAACGAAAGAUAAUCCCACUCUUAAAAAAAACCUCCAAAACACCCCCCAACAUAAGUGUCACAAAUUAUGAAGAAAAAAGGUAUUUUUUAAACAGAAAUUACCAAAUUUGUAUUUUUAACAACAAAAAACUCAGGAAAAUUAAUUCUUGAAUUUGUUUGUUAUUUUAUAUACAGUCCAUGCUGGUGUCCUUUUAUCAGCUUGUACUUUGGUCAAAAUCAGUUGAUGUAAUAAAACUGAAAUUAUAAUCAGCUGAUACUCAGUACUAUAUUUUUGUAAUCCGUUACUAUAAUGGUAAUAUUUUGAACUGUAGUGAAGUGAUUAAAAAAAAAAAAAAAGAUUAAAAAACAAAACAAAGACAUUAAUGCAAUUGCACCACUAUAUAACUGGACAAAAUUUUGUCUUUCAGUAAUAUAUAAAAAGUGCUGUCUUUAAAGGUCUCUGAAUUAUUAUCUCAAAAUCUACCAGUGAUGUUCAGUCUUGACGUGGCUUUUUCAGACUUAUUUAACACAAAGGGAAAGAACACAAUUUUUCUUUCCUUUUUACCUUUCAGUCUUUAAGAUUUCAGUUUCACAAAACCACUAAAAUCCUGUGGCACUUCCUUUGAGUGAAAAUAAAUUGUCAGUUUUCCCAAAAGCUUUUAAGUGGUUUGAUUUUGUCAUAUUAUUUACCUCAAAGUUAUAUCAAGAUACAAAAAGAAUUUCUACAGAUCAGUAUUAAUGUGUACACCAGAAACAAUUUUAGUUGACAAAAGAAAACCAGAGUAUUAAAAGAAUUUUCUUACAUUUGGUGUUGCCCUAUCCAUUUAAUCUACUUUGGAGGUGGCAAGCCAACUUAAUGACUGUUCUGGCAAUAACUGAAAAAAAAUUCUUUCCAUUUUAAAUGUUUUAACUUAUCAAACCAUGUCCCACUCACAUCCUUGCAGUAUUUAUUUACUCUUCUCUGUAUUUGUAAUCUUUUUUUCAAAUAAAUGUUGCCCUCGGAGAUUUAAAGGAAGACGCUAGAUUUUUUGUUUUGUUUUGUUGGGGUUUUUUUUGUUUGGUUUUUUUGGGUUGGUUUUCUUUUUUUUUUUGAGACAGUGGCAGUUCAGUGUUUGGCUUGCAUUACAGGACCUCUGAUAUUUGGCAAUGUAAGUUCUUGGUUUGUGUCAGACACUUUAUUUAAUUGGACAAAUCUUAGGACUGUAGAAUAGCACAGAAUUCACAAAUCUUACCCAUUUUUAUUAAUGCCACAUCCAGAAUGCUUCAUAUAUAUAUGCAAUAUCUUGUUUGAAGGACAAAAUAAAUUAUUUAACUAGAUUAACUGAUAUUUUGGGGAAAAACUUCUGAGCCCAGAAUUUUGCUCAGGUUUGAAAGCACUGUUUUCCUAAAAAAGCAUGUAUGCAUCUCAUUUGAAAACAUUGAUUUAUACAUAAAAAUCCCUCUGCAACAAUAUAUCUAAAUAACAUUAAACUUGAAAGUGUUGGAAAAUUUCAGAAUUAAGGUGGUGGUCACAUUUCAUUCCAACCAUAUUUUUUUUCAUCUUUUGAUAGCCAUGUAUUAAUUAAGAACGAGAGACAAAAUAAAAAGUUCUGUGUGUUGCAAACGUGUCCUUUUUGCAUGCAAUGAAUUCUAGUUAUAACUACCCCUUUGAAACAGGAGGAAAUUAGGCUUCAAUUGCUUUGUGUCUUCUUAUAUCUUUAAUUUAAACUUAUUCCUUUUUAAAUUGCCAUAUUCUUGAGCAAUAUUCUUCAGCACUGAGGGGUAGAUCUCAGACCUACUUUUGAGAAUACAGAGAGCAUUAAGCCACAGGAAGAUCUGUGAUUUAUAAAGCAUCAGACCUUGUGAUUAAAUAUUUAUAUUUCCAAAAGAAAUAAAUAUGAACUGCAAUUUCAGUCAUUAAUGACUUAUGAAUGUUUAACAUGACCAAAAUCGGAUUUACUGAUUCAGUUUGACUUCUAUUACUUUUAGCAGUUCCAUUUUCUUAUUUUUCCCAUCACACAAGGCUGUUAAGGCUGCUUUGGUCAUCUCUUUCACUUCCUUGCUUCAAAGGUCAGUAGAAAAAUUAGUGAAAAUGCAGGCAAGACAGCUCUGUUCUGGUACCAGUGUCAGGGGAAAAUAAAAGUCACUAUUCAGAUUACACAGCCCUUGACCUCCAGAAGACCGGAAUUAUGAAACCUGCAGUUACCAAUUCCUUAGUCUUAUAUCUAGACACUUUUUCAAAAGACUAAGUCAACAGAUUAACAACAACAACAAAAUCAUACUCUAGCAAUUUCUCGGUAGAGAAGUCUGAUUUAGUGUGCAUUUCAGUGUCAAUUACUUUUACUAUGACAAAGUUAGGAGUAGGAAUAAGCAACCCCUUUCAAUGGAAGCUGUCAGUCUCAGUGUAGGUUAAUCUUUGCCUAAUUAACAGAUAGACAGAGAGUUGGGUUAAAAGAUCUGUUAGUGGGAACUUGAAUUCAUUGUCAUGAACUUCCAAAGACAUUUCAGAAAAACCUUUUAUUCUAUGUUAUAUAAUUUUUAAAAAUAAUGUGAAACUAUUAUAUCUUUUGUUUAAGACCUCAGAGCUCGAUGCAGCACUCCAGGUCAUGUCUUACAAGAUUGGAGUACACGGGCAGAAUCACCUUUCUCAGUGAGGAGUGGUUGAGAUAAUUUGAAUACUUCAGCUUGGAAAAGAAAAGGCUUUGGAGUGGCCAAGUUGCAGCCUUCCACUACCUGAAGGGAACUUAAGGAAAGAUGGGGAAAUAAAAUCAUUAUAUCCCUAUCUCAGAGGGAUGUCUCAGAUAGAAUAUCUACGUUUUUUCUCCUUGCUGCUUUUAAGAAGAAUUAAGACUGAACUCACUACUGCAGACUCUCUGUGAGGAUGCUUCAGGUUUCCUGUCUCAGAAUGAGGACUUGACAUAGCAGAUUACCAAGCUGAGGUCUGGAAGAAACAUUUUGUGACUAUGCAAUGGAAAGCAAUAAUAUGGCUGAGAAUUCCAUCUGUUUUUUAAGGUCUUGACUUGUUCAAGAAGCCUUAUGUCUCUAUCCCUUCUGGCUGAUUUAGCUUGUUUUAAAAAUUGUCCUUCUUUAAGUUUCUCUAGGCCUUGAUUUUUCAGUAUAAUUUAAUCUAUAUACAGUUCUGCCAUUUUUUUGUCCUCAUUUUCUAUAUUUUUUUCCUCAGAAUUUACUAGUGCUUGAUCCUUCACUGAUGUUGCUACAAGGUCUGGUUUUUUUAUUGCAUCAUAUUUCCAGUUUCAUUUUUUUCUCUGUGAGAUCACUUUUCACUACUUUUUCUGAUGUUUCCACUUAUAAGGUCUUUGUCCCAUCUCUCUUCUUUUGCAAACUGCCAUUAGAUCAGGUACCUUGGAGCAGUUACCUUGAGUGUUUCCAAUGCAAUCUAGUGACAACUAAACACUAUGUAUAGUGAGCCUUUGUUCAGGGAUGUUUUUUCCCCAUUCUUAUUCCCACAGAGUCCAGCCUGUAUUUUUCUUCUCUUUCUACAUUUUAAAUAAAGUUCAGACGUUCUAGCUUUUAAAACUUACUUUUCAAAAGUUUCUUCACUGGGAGGAAGUCCCUAGCAUCUUGAAGAAGCAAUUUGUCCUACAUCCAUUAGCAAAAUAAUUUUACUGUGAAUAUAUGCUUGCAGGAGGUCUCCUCAUGGUACAGUGGAGGGACUGAUGAGCUGUGAGAUCCUCAGUACAAGAGACCAUAACUGAAGGUCACACUGCCUGGAGAAUUACUGCUUGUGUAAGGAAACUGAAAUAUUUUGUGAACUAAAGAGCUAGUUCACAAGAGAUCUUUUUUCCACAUUCACUUUAUAAGUGCAUUAACCUCACUAAUUCACACACUAGAGAGACAAAUUUGGGCACACACACCAAUAAAGUUGUACAUGGAAGCCAGUAAGUUUUUCCUUUUGCUUUAAUUUAUGUAAUGUUCAUGACAGAUUGAUAUGAGGAUUAGGUUUCUAAGACAAGAAAACUUGUUGUCUGUAACAUAAUAGGGAGUACAAAGCACAAUAAAUUAUAUAAAUUGGGAAGAAAAAAAUUUAAACUUUUAAUUUCUUCUUAGACAUGCCUGGCUUCAAUCCUCUGUGUUCUCCAUAUACUGAAAAAUCUGUUGGUUUGAAACAUCAAAAGUUAUAUGCAAAAAAGCUGUUUGUCAAUGCUCCUUCUCUUGCCUGUAAUUUCAAGAAGUGUGACAAAUAAGCAUUUCUUUGGCAGAUCACUGCAGGGUGACAAUAAUAUCUACAACAUUUAAUUCUUUUUAUUGUGUUGGUUUCUUUUUUAUGACUGCAUGCAUGCAUAUUCUCUAAAAGGUGAUCAUGGUCAGCAUAAUCCAAUAACAAGCUUCAGCAAGGCCUAUUCUAAAUUAUAGGAAAGAGCUUUAAAAUCUAACAGAAUUAGAUAGGGACACUUCUCUUUAAAUGAAAGCACUAAUUUUCAAGUGCUCAACAGUAGGCAUUGUCAGCUUAGGAAUGCCAGAGCUAAAUAGUCUUUCAUUGUUGAAAAGAGAUUUCCACAAAAAGGAAGAUGAUAGAGGAGCAUAUCCACCCUUUGUAAGAAUGGUCUAUGCAAAUUAUUUCUUUCAGAACUAAUUUAGCAUUGUCCCUUUGGUGUGAUACUCCAGGAAACCAACAAACCUUCACUUUACUCUUCAAUUUGCUAAUCAGGAGAGAUACUACUACCAACAGCCUAGAAAGUUUGGGGUUUUUUUGAAGGUUUUGAAGUAGAAGGGCUAAUUUAAAAAUGUAAUCCAUAAGCCGCACUUUAAACUAAAAUAUUUAAAGGAAUUUUUUUUUUUUAAAUCCACAAAAAAUUCUCAGAAAGCUGUCCUAUCUUAUUUGAGUUCAUUAAAGCAUCCUCCAUCACAAUAUGUGCCUCCAGCUCUACUGAGACACAGGUUAUAGACCAGGAAGCUAAUGAGAUCAGUUACAGUGAGACUAUAAAAUUGUAGCAUAAGGAAAGUACACAUGGAUUGUUAUAACUUGGAAAUCAUAGUAACUGUACAGAUACCUUCAGCUUUCUGUUAUUAAAAGAUGGUAAAUAUGCUAAAUACUAGUGUAUUAUACUUAAAACAAGUACUUUUGAAACUUUGUAAAACUGUCUGCUUUUAAUAUUAAUCCUUGUUGUAUGCAUUCUAUUUUAUUUAUCUUCUCAUUCUACUCUCUCCUGCUUGUCUGCCUCUUCUGUCAUUUUCCCUCUCUCUGUUAUUCCUCUGGCCUCUUUUUGUGUCUUUUUUCUCUUGGCUUUAUUUUUCUCUCCCUGGAGAGAUUCCCAGAUCACAUUAGAAAUGUAGGUUAGACUUCUGAUGUCAUUCUUAGAGAAAGAAAAAUAAAUUACAACCUUAGUGUUCAAGGCUAUAUAGGAAAUUUUCUUACAUGAUUCUGUAGCAACACUUUUUCAUGAUCCUGGGAUGCUUCAAUGUGUAUUCGUGGAUAGGGAAAAAAUGAAAACUUGGGAAGGUAUAACUUUAGAUGUAUGAAAACUUGUGCAGAGUUGCUUGUCUCGCUGUAGAGUUGAUGUUGUUCUAGCCAUCUAGUGACAAAAAAUUCAGGAAUGCCACUUUAAAAUAAAUUAAUGCACUGAGUUUGGGAUUUUAUAUGUAUUUAUUUCAUCAGUUCUUCCUUGUUAAGACAAUGCUGUGUGCUAUUAAUGCCAUAACGAGAUGCUCUAAUCCCUGCACUUACUAUAGGGAACAUAGGUGCCUGACUGAGUAUCAUAGAUUCUGCUGCACAGCCUAAAUCAAUGAAAUUUAGAGCAGUCAGAUUCCUUGUCUAUUAGACAUCUUUCUGAAUAGAAAUAGGUAUUCUUGAGUAUCUGAGUUGUAUAUCUUGUUUUGUCAGGUCAGGAUCAAAUCUUCUUGUUAAAUUACACAGUAUGUUUUUUAUUACAAUAUUUCUGUAGCAAAUGCUCCAUACAUGGAAACAGCAGCCCCACAUACGUUAACACAAUUCUUUCUGAAACCAAAGAUCUCAGAUGUAGGCUGUUAUUCUUUGCUAAUGGUCAUAAUUAUGAGUCACUCAUACAGUUGUUGCAUGGCUUUAAAGUCUCAAAACCUAUUGUAAAUCAUCCUGUAUACUACACAAUGCAAGACGUUUUUUCCAAUUCCCUUUUUUAAUUGACAAACCCAUUUGUAUAGGAACAGGUUUGCUGUUUUUCACAAUUCAUCUGCUAGACAGAAGACACUAUUUUGUUGUAGAAAGCAAUCAGGUUAGUGUGGCAUGAUUUGCCUUUGGUAAACUCAUGUUGGCUUUUGUCAAGCACUUUCUACAUUUGACUUGUAGGGUGCCUCAAGAGUUUAACAUGGGAAAGCUUUACAUCACAGACAUGUAUGUGUCUAGGAAGAAUUUGCGGUUUUAAAAUAUUGUUUGAUUUAAACUCUUAUAAUUUUGUCUAAAAUUUAUUAUAUUCACUUCCAUGAUACUUCAAACUCUGUAUUUUGUAUUUAAUUCUCUUGUCUUGUCCAUUCAGUCAGGUCUAGGUAGUGGGGUAGCUCUCUUGUAAUCAAGUACUGUACCUGUAAAUCUAUAAGUUGCAUUCCCUUUUACCUCUCAGUAAUGAAUUUUGAUGCACAGGCAUAGCUGUAGUUUGUUCUAGUUCCAGAUUUUCUGUCUCCUCUGAGCAAUCAAGCUACGGAACAUUUUACCCACGUCUAUCUCAGUAAUAUGCACCACAAAACACAUAUAGCAAUGACAAAAUCAACAGACUUUUAUAAGAGCCUGUUCCUAAUUACUGCAGGCAUUGUCAUUAUUUAUUUCUUUUAUUGGAAAUCCUUGUAAUUCUACAUAUUUGUGCAAAAUCCCAUGUGAUAGGACAAUGUUUUUUUUUAAAUUUGUUCUCUCAGUGAUACAGUUGAGAGUAUGGUGACACAAUAAUCCUCUGUAUGAGCUAUGAGGGUGUCCUUUUUUCAGGAGGCCUCCACAAGACUCACUUGUAAAUCAUUCAUUAACAAUUUAAGCUAAAAUAAAAAUGGAGAGUAAUACAUGAGAAUCUGCUUGCUUUUUUAUUUUUCUUUGCCCCACUGAAUAUUUUGCAAUAAAUAAUAUUAUUUCCUGAAGUGAAUAUUAUAGAAAGUAUAUAUAGAUAUAUAUAAUAUACAUUAAAGACAAUGUAUUUUAAAAUGCUCUGUAAUAGACAGUAUUUUUUAUGCAAUUAAACAGGAUAAAAUUAUGUAACUGUGUGGGAAAGAAAAAAGACAAAAUGUCAUUAAUCUCGUGUCAGUGAUGCUUUUAUCUAAUACAAAUAAUGAUGUUUGUGGUGCAAGAGUUUGCUGCAUCUUAGUUUGAGUAAAUGACUACACUGGCACAUUGAUUGAUAAAUUGGUCACCAUGGCUCACUUAUUUCCUUGUUUAGUUCUGGUGUUAGAGGAAAAGUUCCAAAUGCCAAUCAAAAAUUUCUCUUAAACACUAGAGAAUAUAUAGGUAGUUAUUUAAAUGAGAUUUUUUAAUGAACUAUUAGAUAAUUCCUCAUUGUAUUCACAAACUGCUGAAACUUAUAAAGAUACUUGGACUAAUAAGCCAUAGCAUCUCAUUUCUGGUGCCUUGCUUUUCUCAUUACAUUUUUUUCUAAGGCAAUGAAGAUUUAAUCAAAGCAGCAGGAAACAGCAUGAAUGUUGUGUGGGUAUUGUUUCGUGCACUUAUGUCGGUGAUUUCCAAGAGAAAGAUGAGCAGAAAAUGAGUUAUGGCUGUACAUGAAGAAUCUGGAUUUCUUCAGCUCUCGUAAGGUUGAGGAAAUUUGAGGGAGAAAAUCUGAAAAAUUACCUGGAGCAGGGGGGAAGAAUUAAAUAUAUUUCUUGUUCUAUAUAAGCAAAUUAGAGAUAUUUUAACGUUUUCCCUUAAUACAAUUUAAAACAACUUCUAUGCAACUGAGGAACUGGGAGUAGAGAACAGGAAAGAAAGAGGUGGGCUUAUUAAAAGUGGAUACAAACAAGUUUGAAAACCAGUACACAAAAAAUUUUUCAAUUUUUCCAUUGGAAAGGAAAUAAUAUAUAUCUACAUUUAGAUGGGUAAAUAAGCUUUAAGAUGUUGAUUUUUUCAAUUUGUCAAUCAAUUUUAAAUUCACGUUUUAACGCAAACAAGCUGAACAGUUGUUUUAGCACAUAUCAGAAGCCAUUUUAAUAAAGUAAUAACGAAGUAAUUUUUUUUUUUAAUUGCAAGACUAUUUUCAGAAUAGGGACAUUCAAAGUUUGACUUGGUUUUCUUUGAUAGUACUGUGGUUGAAGAAUCAACUUCCAUUGGACUAGUCAAUGGACAACUGAGGAAACUUUCAAUGAUUUUUGGGUUCUGGGUUCUGUAUAUUUCUCUAGUUACAUAUAAUACCUUGAUUCAAACUCAGACUCUCAAAGUCAAAAGAUUUAAGAUUUUUACAGAGGAGGAAGGUAAUUCAUGAACAUUUAAAAUCAGUCUUUCACAUGAAUGCUGUUGAAACUUUUAUGUGUAGAUUUUCACAACUCUUUGGUGGUUACCAUAUAAUGAUAAAGACAAACAGCUAAACACAUUUGAUUUCAAGGUUCCAGAUACAAAAAAAAACCCAAAACAACUCAGUUGACAUUAGUUAUUUCUGAGGCAGACAAAGAGAAAAUAAUUUAAUUUUUUUUUUUAAGACAGUUAUACAUUUUAGAAGCCUACAUUAUCACUUAAUCUCUAGUGGAAAAUUGAUCACUAAUUAUCAUAUAGGCUUCAAUGAGACUUAAUGAGACUCUGCUCCUUUCUAUUACUUUUCUUAUCUACACACAUACAUUUAAAAUAAUAUGUUAAAUAUUUUUUUCUAAGCAAAUCAACUUUAGCAGGUUUUCUAAAAAAAAAAAAAUACUGUCUUUUUCAUCCUUAUUUGGAGUAUUUUGAAAUGUCUGUUUGUAUAUGUAAUAUUCCUGUAAUUAAGCUAUCAAAGUUAUGCUACUCCUGCUACACCUCUCUUGCAAAGCAAAUGGGAGUAAUUUUUUUUUUAUUUAUGAAAUAUUGAUAUGAAAUGUUUCUUAAACUAACACACAUCUUCUUUUCAAAUGUCUCUUUUUCAAAGAAGCCUUGACUUGCCCUCACAAAAGACUUGCUAAGUAUUUUGGAUUUGCCUGUCAAGCCCAACAAUGUUGACAAUCUGCUGUCCAAUUCUUAUGAUGGAAAAAAAGAAUAGGUGUUAGUGUUUCCAUAAAAGAGUUACUUUACAGCAGUUUCAUCUUUAGGCUAAGCAAUCAAUGCAAUUUAAAGAAACUUCACUGAUAACACUAUUGUAAACCAGUCCAAAAAGCACUAUAAAACAUAGUGAAAAACUGUCUUAAUUGAAAGCUUCAAGUCGUGACUUCAGAGGGCCUAUGAGACCAACUGUUCCUGGCGGCCGCCUGGCUGGAAAAUCCCAUUUUAUAUACGGAUUGUUUUGACAGCAGCCAACCAUGAAGAUGAAAAACUAGCAACUGCUGAUUUAGUUUCCCUUGGCAUCUAACAGGAGAGGCUCUAAGGCUCCCUGAGCAUGUACAUUAAGUUAUGAUACCUUAAUAACUAUAAGUUGUGGAGUCCAGAAGGAGGUUGUGAUCAAACUGUAGGGCUUAUUAUUUUAAUGACUCUAAUAAAAUGUUUUAGAGGAACAUGUAAAUUCCAGCCAGCUUCGUAGUGAAGAGACCAACCUGUGCUGCACUUGAACUCAAGAGAAAGGGAUUUAGUUCAAUUUAGUUUGUUGAAAUUCAAUGUAUUUAACUUGCUCCAGAGUAGCAAGUGAAAAAUACAGUUUUCUUUUCAAGUGUAGAAACAUUUGGGUGAUUUGAAAAUGUCAUACUCUGCUUUCUGUGACUCAUUCAAAAGUUCUUGGAAUGAAGGUGUGAAACAAUGUUUAAAAGGAAAAUAAAAAUAAUAAUUUUGAAUUAUUGCAUAAACAUGGACUGCACAUCGUGAAGGAGACCAGCUCUGCUUAUUCUUCUUCCAGGGGUUUCUAUACCAUCUGCUGAGUUUUAUCAGUAGAUAUAGCUCUUUUGAUAAAGAGCUAUAAAAUGAUUAUAUAGAACUUUAAAUAUUUGGUGGUUUACUUUUAUUAAGAUACAUAUUAUAUGAAAGUUAUACUUUGAUAAUAUUCUUACAUAUUAGGUUUCUAAACACUUAAAAAUUUCAAAAUGCUGUAAUCUUGGAGCAGUCUGUAAAAAUGGGUGACUGUGGGGUUACGCUAACACUGGAACUGUCAUUCAGCUAAAACCACAAAAAGAUCUGGGACAACUUAAAAAAAACUUCUUCACUUGUCAGCAACUUUAUGUUGGGGCAAUCUACAUGGUGCAGGUGUCGAGGCAUUCAGAUUCAGACAGACCAAGUCAUCCAUGUUUAAAAAUGUAAUUUUUAUUGUCAAUAUAAAUAUGUCAGCACAGUCUUGGGAUAUCUGUUGUCAUUCUGGCAUACUACCUACUUACUGCACAUGCUUUUAAUAAUAAUGAUAAAUUUAAAUAAUAUUUUAAUAAUAUAAAUAAUAAUAAAGAUAUAAAAUAAUUGUUUUAAUAUGCAUAAGGUGAAUAUUGAAAAUGGUUAGCCAUGGUUAAUAAUGUAGAAAAAAAAUCAUAAAAAUAAUAACCUCAGUGAAGUGGUAUGGCUUUCGAAAUGCUCUCCCACCAAAAAAAAAAAAAAAACCAAAAAAAAAAAACCAAAACAGAAUAGGUUUUGCAGAUAAAAAUAUCUAAAUUCUAUAUCUCUUUAAUGAAAUUGUCACUAGAAUAAUAUCACAUCUGCACUUUCUAAGCAAGCCAGCAAUUCACUGACUUUAAAGUUUAAAGAGAAAUUCCAAUGUGCUUUGCAAAAGAAAAUAUUUGUAACAUCUUCCUUGUAGUGGGUCAUUGCAAUGUUCCUUCAGUUCUGUGCCAUAUAGAUAAAAAGCCAAAAACUAAGUAUGUUCUAACUUAUUUCCAAAGGUUUGCUAUUGAAUGCAGAGCAGUUUUCUUUUUUUUGGAACACGAUGUUUUACUUACAAUCAAAGCUCCUGUUUCUGCAACCUGUGGAAUUGCCUACUGUGUAGCCUAUGUUACCUGUAGCAUGUGUAAGAAAAGAUAUUGAAAAUGAAAUUGCAAACAUACUAGAAACGAAAGGAUUUUCCACAUGAAAUAGAACUUCUAAAGCAUAGGCAAAAGAAAAAAUUAGCACAUAAAACAAAGAGCAUAUGAAAGUAUACCAUUGUUGCAGUUCAAUUGCACACCAGCAGGCUUUAUUAAGCAGAGGAAUGGUGGAUGAAUUUCAGAUGACACUAACUAGAUUGUGCUCUGACCUGGAAUAUACAGUACUCGAAAUUUCAUGGCUCUCUCCCAGACUAUUAGUAAUGGCAGCUUGUAUGCAGCAAACUCAGCAUGUAGCAAAUGAUAGAUAAGCCAAAAUCUGGGCACCUGUCCAUAACUGAAUUGUAAAUACAAUUCUCUUUCUGCCUUUGGGAAAGUAGCGUCUGUCUUACACUUUUUAGCAUACAAUUAAGACAUUACUUUAAAUUAAUAUUCCCCGUGUUCUACUGCAUGCCAUCUCUUUGUUGAGAAAUUGAUAAUAAAAAUUCAAAAAUUAUAAUAUUCUAAAUAUUAAUAUGUUUACUCUGAAUAUAAUUUAUUUUUAAAUGUUUGAAAAUUCUUUUCACAGCUCACACUGAUUUAAAAAUUAUGUUCUUUAACAUCAGAAGUAUGUUGUGAAGUUUUACUUUAAUGCAAAAAAUAGAAAUGUUUGUCUUUAAAUAGCAUGUAAAUUUUUUUCUCACUAUCGAAUUUGACUUUUAUAUUCUUUUUUCAUCUUUGGCUUCUGUUUAUUGUGUAAUAUUAACAUUGUAGGCAUAAGGAUAAAAUAGAUCUGAUUAGAUAUAGCUUAGAAUAAAAUUUUUCUUUCAUGCUUGAAACAUACUCGAGUUAUGUAGAUUGUAACCAAUUCCACAUUUGCAUUAUACCUUUUGUCAGUUUCACAAUAUUGUACAAAAGACAUUGCUAAGGUAGCGACUAACAUUUCCUUCAUUGGUUAGAAUUUGUCAUUGUCAGAAUUUUCAUCUGCAUACAGCAUAUGCCAACAAUCUGAUAGCCUUUAAAUUCUGAUAUUGGAAGAGUCUAAAUUUAAUUAAGUUAUGGUAAAGCUGAAACAUCCUCUUCCUUUCCUGAAAAAGUGCAGCUUAAGAUCGAAUGCAGACAAGAUUCACCCAAUCUGUACUUUGAGUGUGACUUUUUAUUCCAGUAACAGUUAUUGUAGGAAAAUUAAUUCCAAUGUAAUAAAGACUUUCAACAACAACCCUUGCUGAAUGUAAAAUCACCUUCUUCACUUCUAAUUAGUUUCUGCAGUAUUUUUCCAAAUGACAAGUGUAACAUUUAAAUAAAAUAUGUACAAGUGACAUGCUGUUCAAACUGCAAAUAUCAUAAUGCAACUCUUGAGAAUAAAGAAGGAAUUAUACUUAUCAGUAGCAACAGUGCUUAACCAAAGCUUAUACUCUUGACAAUCCCAGCUGAAACCAUUCUAUGAAAAUUCUAAGUUAAAGUUUUGAUGGAUGCACAGUUAGAAUGUAUUAAUUUUUAAGAUAUCUGGAAAACUACUGACAGAGAAAAAAAUCUUUUGCAUUUAGCAAGUUGAGAAAUCUGGAUGAGUUCCUGCAGUGCUGUGGAAAAAUCAAGGACCAAAAAAUCAUCAGCAACAAAGGCUUUUUCAGCUAGAAAGAACUCAAUGUUAAAGCAAUGAAGAUGAGAAAAGCUUCAUGUGCUGAAGAAAAGGAACUCAUAAUUCUACUUGACUGCAAAAGAAAUUACAUACUAAAGACAAAGCUGCAGUACAUAGUCUUGGUAUAACAGCAAGCCAGAUAAAUAUAUUUGGCUCAUGUGGAGGAAUUAAAAGGGUUGAAGGGAAUUGCAUAAGGUCUCAGUAAGUGCUGCAGAAACAAGAAAAAAAACCUAGCUUAGAGAGGAUGGUACAAUUGUAAAUGGGAGUGACUUAGAUGUACUCCUUAUCCAGGUGUUUAACAAGCUCAGAUAGGGAAAUGUGCAAAAUAUUUUAAUUUUUAUAGGGUGAGUUUUAUGGGGAAAAGCUUUUGUAUUUAUUUUAAAGCAGACAGCACCAUUACUGUGAUUGUCAGAAAAUUGCUUCCUAGAUAUCAUACUAUUUCAGGGAGGAGUUAAAAAAAUAUUGACUGAUCAGACGAAGACAGAGCAAGAAUUCUGAAGAAAGCGACUGCAGUAUCAGAAGAUCAAGUGAGCACUGCAAGCAAAAUAAAAUGGCUGUUCAGCUGUCCAAAAUUAUCCAAUAUCUGUUUGCUCUUUGUUCAUCAGAGAAAACUGUUCUUCAGACCUUUGUGUGAAAUAUUGUGUCCAAAUCUAUUUAAAACUGUCCUUGUUUAACAAAAGGUCAGAGAUCAUUAAUGAAACAGUUUUUUUGACAUUAUUAGUAUUAAUGAAAAUACAUUGAAAGGAGUUUUGGAUGCCAAAUAAUUAUUACAACAAUGACUAAAUAUUUAUCCACUGAGAAAAAAAAAAAAACGGCAAUCAAAAAAACCAAAUAUGCAUUAAAUCUAAAAUAAAGCUAAUACAAAAUCCUUUUACAACAAACUAAUACAGGUAUAGAGAUAGCUAUCACUGAACCAUCUUGGUCCUUGCUGUGAUAAAGAUCUCCUUCUAUUUCUUGCUUAAUGACCUCAUUCUGUCAAUGAGUUCACUACUAUGCACUGAUAUACAUAAUGUAUUUUAAUACAUUAUCAUUAAUAAAAUCCUAAUACAGUAAUCAAUAAUACAGUAAUAUAACACAACAUCAUCCAGACUCUGCAAUAUGUAGGAAACAGAAAAAAAAAGGCUUUAAGGAAAAUUUCUUAAGAGUAAAUCACAUGGGAAAUUCCUCAUAGCCAGCAUAUUACAUCCAAAGUGCCUUUUUGCUUUUGUCAGGGUAUGCCUAAGAGGGAGCAAACUGGCCUAGCCCAGGACCAGGACUACUCUUAACAUCUGAUCAGAGCAGACACACAGCUCCAGUGGACAGAAGCAAUCCAGAGCCUGGCAAUAAUUUAUUGGCUAGUACAGAGGUAGUCUGAACUCCCUGCUCUGACUGUGAUUCUUCUUGAAACGUCAGCAUUAUAGUAAGUGAUGCUACUCUGGCUUAGGAUCCAAUGAUCACAGUGUCAUUUUGUUUGGUUAAAGACAAUCUGCAGUUUGGUUGUACCAAAUAAACGAUUUCUGAUGCUAUAAAUUAUUUCCAUACUUUAGGUAUUAUUUUGAUUUUAUGUUUAACCUGAGUUUUCCUUAAAGAUAAUAAAAUUUAUUAAUGAUUGGAAUACAAACCAAAAAAUCACUGUCCAACGAUUGUACAUCAAAUACAUAAAUCUUGCAUGUUAAAGAAAGAUUCAUUUAAAAUCAAGAGAGGCAUCAGUUUAUAUUUUAACUGUUUCAAAACUUUGAAAAGAAGAAGAAACUCUUCUCUUAGACAAGAAAAGAGUCAAGAGGUACUACAUAAGUUUAUUUUUCUUUUUUUCCCCCCAAGGUCCUAAAUGUUAAAAAAGAAUAUAUUUUUCUUCAAAGGGCCAUUGGUUUCCACUGACCCCUCACAAAUGAUCCUUUUCAUGUUACUGAUCUGUUAAGGACCACAGUACAUUCUGUUUCAUAUAUUUUCCUCAGGAAUUGUAAUCUUGUACUCUUUAAAAAUUACUUCUUUAAUGAGGCUAUGCCAGUAGUAAAAUCUUAAUUGUUUUUCCUGAAUUUCACAUUCAGCAUUAGAUAUAGCAAUGACAGUUCACAUCAAACCCAGUUCCAAAAGAGCUAUCCUAUUACACUGGAAUGUACAAUGCGUAGAUCAGUACUUUGAUCCACUAUGCUUUUUCAACACACAACUUUCUUGUGGAUAAGUCAUGAGUAGUGCUGACAAAAGUACAUUCUUCUUGUAUGUUUAUCCUCUUCUUAUAACACUAGUCUUUUGGAAUCAGGUUCGGAUAAUAUAUAUUUUAUUCCUUCAUCCUUUCCCCCCUCCCCCCCGUCCCACUUUAAAAAGAUCUUAAAUAUAAGAAUUAAGAUGAAAAAUUCUUUAUUAAUUUUAGUUUUUGAAAAUGCAUAUUAAAAAUGUAAGCCCUUCUCUGUUUAGCAGUUCUAUAGAAUAGUUUUGCUGGUCUGGAGAUUCACCGAUUCUCCAUACAGAAAAAAACUACAUGUUUUUGUUUUCCAGAAAGCAGGUAAUUAAUAAUCUUAGUUCUUGACUAUUCUUCACCUCAGUGUGUUAACUCCUCCCCAGUUUUAAACCAGUUUUAAGCCAGUUUUAGUCCUUCUAUAGCAUUUCACACUGUUGUUUAUCUUUAAUGUAGAUGGUUAAAUGUAAAUCAAAAAACUGCACAAUUCUGAGUGUCAUUUAUAUAAUCUAAAAGUUUGGGCUUUUUAUAAUGACCCUAUGUGCAGGCAUAUUUAUUAGAAUGACAUCUCUUGAGCUUGUAUAUAAUUGAAUAUCUCAGUAUUUCCCUCUUUAAAUGAAUAUUCUCUUUUUGUUCUGUGCCAUCUACAGUAGGAAACGGAUAUCAUCCAACAUUUAAUGUUUGUCUAAAGGUAGAAAAAAUCUCAUAAAUUUAAAAGACUGAAGUAUUUGUUUCCAUUCAGCCUUACAACUGUGCUGAAAUCUUUAAUAUCUUCCCCAUUCUGCCAGAUCCCAGGAUUCUCCAAAGCAAUUUUUUUUCUUAAUGAAGGAUUUACAUACCCAUUAAUUCAUAUAGUUUUGUAGUGAAACCUUUAUCUUCUCUGUGUCCCAUUAAUUGCUAGUAUUGUUCUGGUACCAUUUUUUCUAACAUCACAUUAAUGUAUGCAUCUGUGCCCAUACAAAUACUGCAUUUUAUUUCAGACUGCUAGUUUAUUUAUCUUAUGCAAAAAUGCUGGGUAUGGUUGUUGUGAAUUAGUCUUCUGAGCUAAUGGUCUUAGAUCUUUUUUAUUCUGUUUGCUACACUCUCAUACAUAACCACCACUACCCUUAGGCCAUAUCACACUGAUCUCAGGAAUGCUCUUUAGCCCUCAGCCUUGAUUACAGGCAGUUCAGCUGCCCUUGACUUUAUCAGAAACACUCUGCUGCCAAAACUUCUUCUUUUGCUGAUACCUUCUUGGUGAUUAUUUAAGUGACCUAAAGUAUUUGCAGCAUGGCACUCACAAAUUCUUGAAGAAAAUCCCACAAAUUAUUGCAGUUCUCAAUACCUUUCGUUUGGAUCAUGACAUUGCCUUGUGUUGCAUCAUUUUCUUAAUGUUACAUGUUACAUGUUACAUGUUACAUGUUACAUGUUACCUGUGCUUUUUGGUGGUUGAAUAAUUGUAACUUGAAUCGUUGCAUAUUGCCCUGCUUCAAAAUUGUUUACUGUUUCUGUUUAGAUUUUGAAGGAAUAUUUCCAGUGUCAGAAGACAGCCCAUAUUUCACAAGCUGUGAAAGCAAAUAAGCAGUCUCUUAUGUUAAGAACAAAUGAGCUGGUUUUUGCAAGUUUGAGCAGGCUUACUCACUCUAUGUUAGUCAAAAAAUAGUUUAGUUGUAAGUGCUUUGUUUUUAUCUUUCUUUUCACUACGUACUUAAAAACAUCCUGUACGUGUCCUAUUUCAGAAUAAGUGAGGUUCUCCUCAUUUGUAUUUUAAUUUUCUUUUCCUGACUUGCUGAAAGCUGCAGCAAACAUCAAAUACUUUGGAAUAAGUUCAUAAGAUCUGCACUUUUAAAUGUUUUGUAAAAAUGAAAUAAUAUUUAAGCUGCCUAAAUAUUUUUAAGCAGUUCCUUAAGAGAUAGAUGACUUUUCUUUCUCUCUCAUGCAAAUUAUUUAUUUUUAGUUUCCAUGUUUUAUUUCUGGUCUAUCUUGUGGUCAGAAGUGACUCAAAAAUAGUCUGUUCUAGAAUGGUUUAAGACUAGCACAGUUUAAGACAAGUUUCACUAUAACAAAACAGUUCUAAGUAGCUCUCACUGUAGUCUCCUAAACAUUCAAAUGAUUCCCCACCAUUUCCACAACAAUUUGUUAAUGAAAAUUUAUCAUUUAGACUUCCAUAUCUGUCCAUUCUCUUAAACUCUCUUAAAAGUGAUCUUUCAUCGUGUACAGUGUAUUCACCUAACUGCAUUUCUCUAUACUCAAAAGGGGAAGCUUCUGUGUUCUACCUAUUUUAAGAUAUAAUUUAUUUUUAAAUUUUGCAAAUGUCUCUUUAAUAUCUUUUCUAAAUGAAUAAUAAAUAUAAUUUUGAUGCUUUGUAUAUAUGACUGAUUUAGUAAGCAUAGAGUUUUUUGUCAAAAUAAGAGAGGUGGAGUUGGAGCCUUCUACAUAGUACUCCAAGGGACAAGAGACAGGAUACACUAUUCCCUACAUUGAUUACAGCUGAUAAUGUCUAUUACUGCAAUGAAUUUUCAGUAAUAAUACAACUCUUAUGUCUAAAUUGCAGUGCGUGAGAUAUAUCAAAAUAACUUGAUUUCCUCAAAACACUAGGUAAAUAUAUUCUAUAUUUUCUUUAAGAUAUUUAUUGCUUAGUGAGACUGUACUAGAUUUCAUUUACCUGUGCUUAUAUUCCUCAAACUCCUAGGAAAGCACAAAUCAUGCCACUUCUCCUAAGUAUAUUUUAAUAUACUUUAGUGGGUCUGUGUUGUUACCAAAUUUCCUGCUAACAGAAAUCACUCCAAUCCUGCUACUGAAAAUCUCUAUAAAGUAUAAUUGUAACAAGUCUAUCAGUUUAUCUUUGUUGGGCAAGUAAUCAAGGAUGGCAGACUGUGGCAGUCCAAAUUCAGCCCAUUACAGCCAUUCAACACCUUACUUCAUGGCCAAAAUAAUAGAAAAUGCAAUAGUACAGCUGAUAAGUGUUUAUAUAUCAAAGCAGAAAUAGUGAGGAAAACAGAUUUGGGAAGUGCUUUCAAAUUUUUUUAGGGAAACAGAUAUUAUUCCUGUAUUAAUAUUAAAGGUUUUAUAUGGUUUUGAACUGGCAAACUGAAUCAUUCAACACAAGAAUAAGCAGGUUGCAUUUGAUAUAGUUUUGCUUCACAGGUCACCACUUAUAUUAAUUAAUUUCAAAAUUGAACAUGUGAGGAGAAAUAUUGUGAAAAAAGACUGAAGUUUUCCCUUUGUGACCAAAAAAAAGGAAGAAAAAUAUUUGAAUUAAUUUUACAAAAAGAGACUAUGACUGGUUUUCCAAAGUAUUUGUAUGCAUAUGUUUUACAAGGCAGUGCAGAACAAUGACCAAGUUUAGGGACUCCUCACAGAAUCCCAAAAUGGUCGAGGUCAGAAGGGACCUCUGGAGGUCAUUUGGUCUAACUGCCCUGCUCAAGGAGGGAUACCUAGAGCUGGCUGGGAAGGUUUGUGUACAGACAGCCUUUGAAUGUCUCCAAGGAUGAAAACUCCACACCCUCCCUUUGCAGCCUGUGCCAGUGCUCAGUCACCCUAACAGUAAAAAUUUGUGACAUCCAGACAGGGUGACCUCUGUUUCAGUUUGUGCCCAUUGGCUCUGGUACUGUCACUGAAAAGAUGCAGGCUCUGUUAUGCUCUGUGUUCUCUCAGGUAUUUAUACACAUUGAUAAGAUUGCCCCUGAGUCUUCUCUUUUCUGUGGUAAAUAGCUUUUCUUUUUCCACCUUUGUGGCUCUUCAUUGGACUCUCUCCAGUAUGUCCAUGCUUCUCUCGUACAAGGGACGCCCAGAACUGGACACACCACUCCAGCUGUGGCUGAGUAGAGGAGGAUUAUCUUUGUCAACCUGCUGGUAAUACUUUAUAUAAUGAAGGCCAGGUGUACCAGUACCCCCAGGUCUUUUUUGCCAAGUGCCUUCCUAGAUGGCUAGCUCCCAUCAGAUAUUGACACCUUAGGUUUUUCCUCCUCAGGUUCAGAACUUUGCAAUUCCCCUUGCUCACCUUCAUGAGAUUCUUUUCAGCCCAUUUCUCCAGUGAAUCCAGGCCCCUCUGGAUGGCAGCAUGACCCUCUGGGGUAUCAAUCAAUCCAGAGAUAGACAUAACUAGGAUGAAAAAAUAAAACCCAGAAUAUUAUCUGACACUUUAUUCUGUUAAUUUGGAAAAUGCACAUAGUCUUGUAUAAAAUAGAUUAAUUGGAAGAAAGAAGAAAAGGACAUAGAAAAGAGACAGAUAUCAUAAGGAAUGGUGUUAUAUGAAGCAAACACAUUGCAUAAAUAAGGGUUUUUAUUAGAUAUGAAAAAACAGUGCAAGAAAAUAGGUUCUCAAAGUGUUGAAAGAAAAUUCCUUUGAGACAAGUCCAAAGAAAAAAAGAAGUCUGAGAUCAGAAGCUAGGGUUCUUAGUGCUAACAAUGAUGAAGACUAAAACAAUAAAUGAAUUAAAAUGUUACAAUUACAAUACUGGCUGGAAGGUAGACAAGGAGUCAGAUGAACUAUUGAAGGACAAGAGUGAGAUGUUAAUGACAAAUGAGGUUCAUAUUGCCAAGAGGCUGAAUGAAUCCUUUGCUAGUGUAUGCAUGAAAGAAUUUGAAGGUCAUAUUCCACAGCCUGGGAUAAAUUUUCCUGGUGAAGCAAGUGAAAUACUAAAAGGCUUUAUGGUCACAAUGAAGCAGGGAGUAAGGAAAUUAGACCUAUUAAAACUGACAUAGUACCAGGCCAGGAUAAAUUACAUCCUGAACAUCUUCAUGAAACUCUGUAACAAGCAGCAGGAGCAUUUCUGGAUUAGGUAUUUGUCUGAAUAUGAGAAAGGAAAAGACCAAGCGAUUCACCGCAAGCAGCUAAUUUAUCACUUAAGUAAAGGACGUAGAUGUUACAUAAGUACUACCAAUCAAAGCUAAAUAUUAAUUGAUCUAAUGUUCUGGAAACAUUGAUAGAAGAAAUACUUAAUCAUAAGAAAUUGCAACUUAUAGAAAUUUCUCAGUACAGCAAUAAAUAUGUGGAAACAGAAAGGCAUAACUAUUAUCUCUGGAUGUUGUUUUAAUCAGUGUUAUUCUGAGAGAUUGGGAAAUAAAUGGCUAACUUAUUUGUCAAAUAUCAAAAAAAUAUGUAUUUAUACUUUGGUCUGUUCAGUGAAAAGGCUACUUUAAUCAGUCUAAUUAAGUGGCCACUGGAAUAUCAGUUGCAGCAAUAAAGGCAGACAGAUAUACUGACCAAAGUACUGACUGUACUUUGUUUUGUACAACCAAAUUCAGAGGUGAGUUCUGGGUUGAAUUAAUCUUGUUAAGGUUCUGAGCCACAGACCUUAUUAUUAAGACAUUUGAUUUAAUAGGGUAGGUGUGUGGUCUUUUGUGUGUGUGCAAAUGUAGGUACAUGAUCUGUGUGCAUAAUAUGUGUAACAAUUUGCAUUUAUUCUUUUAAGUUUCAUACAUACAUUCUUGAUAAAUUGUUAUAUUUUAUGUUUUUCUAAUGACGUACAUUUAUUCAAUGAUUAAUGUAAGUGCUAAGAAAGUUUUCAGCAGUAGAGCCCCUCUAGAACUUUCCGACCAUGACAUCAUUAGGUUGAUAGUAUUAGCAUCAGUGGCAUGAUAUGUAUGGAAAUUAUCAGGUACACAGGAGAAGGACACUUGUGAUAAACUAUUCCGUUUUACUUGUCAAUGGGCACACUGUAUGGCAGAAGAAUUUAAAGAUCUAGAAACCAGCGUUUCAUGACUAUGAUGAAGUAUCAUGCAGGGUGAUGAAACAUAGCAGAUUCCAAACAUUUCUGAAAGACUAGCAAGGCAUGGGAAGUCAGGAAGAAGGAAGAAGAAAAGAAGGAAGAAAGCAAGCAAUCAGGAGGUGAUUCAAAACCAGAUGCAAUGGUAAGAUGUUGGUCAAAUACAAAAGCCUGAAAUUUGGAUACAGGUUAGGAUUGGGACUGUCUUUUGUGUUACUGAGGUUACAUGGAUUGAUUGUGGAGGAAGGUUUAUAUCUAUGUAAAAUAGCAUUUGUGACAAAAUAUUAACAUAUUUAUUUAAAGAUAUUUUAGGUAGAGAAGAUAGAGAUAAUGAUUUUUUAAAUUCUGGAUGUGCCAAAAGUCAUAUUAAAAAAGAGCCUGUAAGAUGUAGCACUAAGAAUGCUAAUGAACAAUGAACAGACAAGACGCCCAACAAGAUUUCCAGCCAAUUAUAAAGGAAAUAGGUAGAAAUGCAAUAGGGAGAAAAAUUUAGAGAAAAAUCAGUGAAGGCUCCUUUGUACAUUUCUGACCUUUAAUUCUGUUCCUGGAGAUGAUUUGCAGCCUAAAUAAUUAACGUGAAACAUCUCAGUUUAUGAGUCAGCUCCAUCUAUUGAAUAGCCAUAAUCUUAAACCAUUUCCAGAUUUCAGGCCAGUACAAUGUGGUCAUCCCAAUAAUAAAUAUGUAAUUAGUAAGUAUCUCCACAUUUAGGUGAUGAAAGAUGCUUCAGGUGUAAAAAGUGAAGACUAGUUUAAAGAUGAAGCAAAGAUCAGGCUCAUCUUAGAAACAGAAAGCUAGACUGAGUCAGCCUUCGGCUAGUGUAGACAGAGUAGAGUAGAAAUGAGAAAUAGAUGGGUGCUUAAAAUCUAAGCUGCCUGAGAGAAAGAAACUAACCUUUAAAAAGAUCUCAUUCCCAUUUUCUUCAUAUAAACCAGCCUGGAGAUGCAUGUUAUAUGUCCCUGGUAACUUUUUCAUUUUAUACUCAAUUAUCUAGAAGUGCUUGAUUUCUUUCAAAUUGAAAACCCCAAACUAUUACUUUUGAAAAAAAAAAAAAUUGUAAUAUCAAAACAAAAGCACAAAACCACCAUGUGACACAUCAGUUGCAAUUUGUGUUUCCCUUUGUUGUGUAAAAAUGAGUAAUUGAAUAUUUGCUUGUUAAUUGCAUUGUGUGCUGAGAAUGUUCUUGGUACAUUCUUGUAGAAUUAUGUUUCUAAGUUACUUUUAUUUACUAGUACAGCUAUAUUGUUGAUGCAUUUGAGCACAAGUUCAAGCCAACAACACAUAUUCAUAGCAAGACUCACAAUAAAGCUGAGGAGAUUUUUAAAUGUUGCAACCUCUCUUUUUUUUUAAAACAUUUCAUUAUCAUAAAAAUUUUUAUCAUUCAAUUAGCUACUAAAAUAUAUUUUCUCAGAUGACAACAUAUUUAUAUUAAGUUCUGAAAAAUAAUUAAAUCUAUUUAAUUGUUUUAAAUGUAACCCAUUUUAAUUGUUUUUCACAAUAUUUCAGUAGGGGUGUUUUGCAUAAUUAUUUCUCCUAUUGACUAAAGUCUAAAGAAUCCUUUUUUGAAAUUUCUACUAUUAACAGAAAAAUAUGUGUUGUGAUGAUGCAUUGAAAAAAGAGAAAAAAGAAACAAGGUGUUGCUUCAACCUGAAAUAGUAGAGUUUCAUUUUAAGAAAUGAUAGAGCCAUUAUUUGAAAGCCUCAGUUAAAGCUAAUUAGACAGAAACUGAACCACACAAUUUUUCCUGUUUAUGCCAUCGUAUUAUUUUCUUUUUCUUAAAGUAAAACUUGAAUUACUCUGGAAAUUAUCUUUUUCGAUCACAGAAGCCUUGAGCUGUAACACAACUUGCUGCAUUGUGUUGAGUUUGUUCAAUUUUUUAAGUGGUUUAGUCUUGCACCCCCAUGUAAGUGGUCCUGCUCUCCCUUGCCUCCUCCUAUCCCUAUGUCAAUCCUCCUUUCUCUCCUACACUGAAAUGCAGCCCUUCUGAGGACCCCGCCCCUGGACCUGGCCAUCACUUGGCAGCCCUUUCUUUCUUUCUGGAAGGUUCCACCUGGAACAUCGAGUGAUAGUCUGAACAGCCAGGUCUCCUCCUACCCCCUUUCCCCGUUGGUGUUCCUUCAUGUUUGUCACCCUGAUUUCCACACCCCUGUUUGAUAUCAUUGGCCCACUGUAGGGCCAUCCCCUGGUUACCACCCACUGCUAUAAGCCUGUGCAAGAGGCUGCACGCGGCUCUUGCAGGCUGUUUACCCUGUGACCGAGGUAGCUCUUUUGAGCUGCCAAAUAAAGUUGGAUUACAAACCCCUGCAGGAGACGACUCCUUGCCUUUGUCAUCAUCGCCAAGGUCUCCCUGGGGCUCAGGAAUUCCGAACCCAAAGCCGCCGUCCUUACCUCCUGAGGUUUGGGAAGGUGGCCAAUGCUGACCUCGGUGUCCAGCUGAGCUGGGCAAGCAUUUCCAGGACAGACGCCAUGGCAGCAACAGAAUUUUCCUUAAUAUAAAAGUUUUGGAUUAGCGGCCAUUUCAAUAUCACUAGAUGUCUGACAAGAGUUUAUUUUUAAACAUGUGCAUAAUGUGUUAGGCUGAAAAUUAAAGGCUUCUAAUAAAAUUGAAUGUUGAUUUACUUUAAGAGAUUCUGAAUUAACUCAUUUGUGCUUAAAGACAUAUCUGUUUGUAUUUAAAGACCUGUAGAACUUUGCAGAGCAUCCUGUAGCUACAAUAUGGAGAGCUCUAAAUUGCCUAUAAAAUUAGUUAAUGAAAAAAGUAAGGGCAUACAUGAAUAUGUAGCAUUUAAAUGACAAUAUUUAAACAAACCAUGGCAUAUGUCUUCAAAAUUUAUCGUCCUGUGCGUUUUACUUACAGUAGUAGAAGUCAGAAAAAUGUGAACAUAGUGAAGAUUAAAGUUAAAUAUAUAUUAAUGUAUUCCUUCAGAAAGUACCUAGGUUUUAAAAUCUUUUUUCCUUCUGGUCCAGCCUGUGAAAACUUGGGUCAGUUCUCAUGUAUUGAGAUAAGCUAAUUUACUCUUUACAAAAACACCAGUCUCAAAUAUUUUAAAAAACUGCUUCUGGAAGUAGCAAUGCAAGAACUUUUUGAACCAAACAUAUUAGUCAGCUAGUGAAAAAUGUAGAAAUAACUUUAUUGCACUACAAUAGCUUUCUGUUCUGCUCAAUUUUCAGGUUUUAUUCCCAUCCCCUUUGGUUCUUUGUAUUGGCUAAUACAUUUUCUGAGAAUUUCCUUAUUUAAAACAAAUUUUUUAUCCAGACCCCGUUUAGAAUAGUGUUCUUGUCAUAAACUGAUUCACAAUUACAAUACAACUCUCAUCAUCAUUCUGUCUUGUUUUAGUGUGAUGAACCUAUUUUUGUUGUGGUUACCUUGUCAUUCUUCCAAAGUCUGAUUCCUUUAAUUCUAUGUGGAAAAAAUGUUUAUAGUGAUGUAUCAGCAUGAUACAUUUUUUAUUAUGUAUGACUCUAAAACUUAUUCUUUGACCCCUUAUGUUCUGAGAGAAGAAAGAAAUCCUUCAUAACCCUAAUGAAUUUAGGAAGAAUGGAGGACUAAAUCUUAUGGUAAAGUCUGUUCCUUAAAUUGCAUGUACAGUCUCCUAUAUAUAUCCAUUCUUCUUUGUCAUCCUUACCAGAGAAGAGGUCCUACAGACAUUGCAAAAACCAAACAGAAAACUCAAGCUUUUAUGAAAGCAAAUAUCUUAGUAGAAUCUGAAAAAAUUCCCACCAAUCAUUGCACAGAAGUAGCAGACACCUGUAAUACACUUUGAAAUGUAGGUAUAAUUUAUGAUUUGAAAUAGUGGUUCAUGCUGAGGGGCAAGAAUUCACUGAACCACAGAUUCCUUUUCCAAAAUAGAGUUUGUUUGUACCUGCUUUAUCAGCAGAGGUUUUAAUCUUCUCUAAAAUUGUGCAGUCCUCUCCACAAUGGCAGAAAUCGUGUCCUCUUCUGUCUAGGGAUAACUUUACAAGGUCUGGUCCUGUUCAAUCAGUAGCAUUAUGGCAAUAUGGAAGAAGAGAAUCUCCUGCUUUGUGAUUAAUAAUAGAGGAAGCAAAAAAAAGAUAUCUGCUCUCAAGAAACCAUGGAUGUUUUGAAGCAGUAGAAAGAAAAUAUGCAGAAAGGUACAGAAGCAGUAGAAAGAAAAGAUGCUACCUGAUACUGGGUUCAGGGUGUGCUGAAGGUUUUCAGUCCUUAGUGUGCAUAAAUCCGUCAGGCUGUGGAGCACUUUCUGUCAAGCAUUUCUUGUAUAUUCACAUCAGCUAUGUCACUGUCAGCAGAAAAGAAAAUGCAAAAGUGCAGUUCAGGUGAAAUCAACAUAUUUUACUUGGUCUUGUAUUAAAACUGUGAGAUUUAGACUGCUUUAGAAAAAGGUCAAAAAGCAUCACUAUUUGAAGAAACAACACGUGGGCAAUCUGGAGGUAUGAAUGAUUGAAGAAAUUAAGACUUCACUAAAUAGUAUUUUAAAAGCAAAGAAUUUUUGAAGAAAAAUCUAUAAGGAUUUAAAUAUAUAUAAUUAAAGAUUUAGGAAAAAGAAACAGAAAAGAAUUCCAGAAUAAUUUAUUUGAAACAGCUCACUAUGUGAAAUGUUCACUUGUGACUUGUUUAAUGUUCCAUCUAUACCUUGUAUAUCCCUAUGGUAUGCAAAGGAUUAAAACAACAGAGAAGAAAAGGUAAAGUUUAUCCCAGGUUUUUGCAGUGGGUUGAUCCUGGCUGGAUGCCAGACACCCACCAAAGCCUCUCAAUCAUUUCCCUCGUCAACUGGACAUGGAGAAAAUAUAGAAAAAGCUCAAGAGUUAAGGAUCAUGUGAGAGAUCACUCACUGAAUACCAUCAUGGGAAAAACAAAUUUGAAUUGGGGAAAUUACCUGAAUCAAAAUCUGAGCAAGAUAACUGAAACAAAAUCUUAAAAACUCAUUAUUCCCACCUCUCCCUGGUUUCUACCUCCCCCCAGCAGCACAGGGAGACUGGGAAUGGGGUCAGUUCAUCACUGACAGGUUGUCUCUGCUGCUGCUGUCUCCUUCUUUCAUUUCAGGUUUUAAUAGUUGUGGUAAAUGCAUAAUUUUUAAAAUGUAGACUUGACUGAGUUAAUUUCAGAUUGUGUCAUCUAUCUUUUAAAAAGAUUGAAAUAGCUGGAAAUAUUUAAUGAUUAUAUUUUAUACCUUUCUUUCCUUGAAUAUUCAUCUGAAAAAAACAAUACCUACAAAUAUGUUAUAUCUUGUCACAAAGGUAAUUCCACAAAACUGGAACACUGCAACAUAAAAGAAAGAACUAGAUUUAUAUCACUGCUUAAGAAAACACUUUUCUACUUAAUGGCUCCAAGCAAUUUCUCUUUUUCAAGGAAGUUUGUAGUAAUACAUAUACACAUUUAAAAAUUCUCUAUAGUCCAGGGGACAAAAAAAAAAAAAAGCUGAGAAAAGUAAGCCUAAGAGGCUAUGCUGAUGUUAUUUUUAUUGUUAUAUGUUCAAGAAGGUGUUUUCUGUCCUUUAAUAACAUUCUGCAUUUAUGGAUUUAGUUCCUAUUAUCUACAUCUACUGACAGAAAAUCCAGAGUAUUUUUAUUUUUUAAGCUUUAUAAUACCUGGGAAAGAAAUAAACUGAAAGAAUGGGAGACAAAAAGAAUGUCUAUUAAAAUAUUUGACUGCAAUCUUUUAUGAAGAGAUGUGAAUUUUCACUAGUUCAAACACAAUGUUCAUGCCUUGCACCAUCAGAGUUAAAAGGAAUUAAGCAUUCAGAGGAAAAGAAAGAUUUUAUUUUGGCAAGGCUGUUGAGGUUUUUAAUUUCUUUUAUAAAGUGUGAGUGCCCUGAAACUACUCAUUUGGACUCACAGAGAAGAUAGAGCACCUUUACAGUGGAAGUUAUGUGAUUCUAGUGAUCUGUGUGACCAACAGCCUCCCUCACUGUAUCUGUCUCUUUGUAUCUCUUAAGCAAUCCCUAUUUUCUCUGUCUUUCAAACAGCAUUAAAAGAUAACCUUUUUAUUCAUUGACAUUACUGCUAGUGAUGAAGUUACAGGUUUGAGAGUCCCACUGACUGGUCAAGUAUUCAUUUGAAAAGAGUCUGAAAUUCUAGUUAGUACGUCAACUCUUUAUGUUAUUCUGUAAGACUGUGGUCAAUUGAUUGAAAGUAGAUCAAUAAAGGUCUGUGGAAUUUCAAAGAGUUUGCAAGGAAGCAAACUAAUUGUGUAGAACUGCUUCAUUAAAAAAAAAUUACUGAGUGAUAGCAUACCUCUUUCUAGGUACAACUCACCAAGAUAAAGGAAUUCUUAUGAUAUAGAUAGCAAAAUAUUACAGAAAAGUAACCUGUUCUUGUACAGUGCAAUCAACAGAUAUAUGUAUCUUAAACUUACUCUUAUUCUGUACUUUUUACAUUCACUAAGGCUCUGCAAAAUUCCUAAAAUAAAAGCCAGUAGUUAGAGAUCUAUGUUGAGGUUCUUCCCUCCCACACAAAAGAGCAUUUCCUAUUAUUUUACUGACUUGAAGUACUUGUCCUGGAAGUACUAUAAAACAUUUUACCAAAAACAUAGGUUUUUCAGGGCUGUAAAUGAAUUUAAUGUCCUUUUUAGCCUAAAAUCUUAGAGAGAACACAGGCAUGGAGAGACAAAGUCAUGAGAAAAUAAUCUAAUCCUCCUCAGCUCAUUCAAUGAAACUGAAGCAGAAAGAUAAAAUGAUCUAGUUAAGCAUUUUGCCUUGAACUUCACUGGGGAGAAACAACCAACCAAAAUAAACAGGCCUUUCUGGAUCCAUAAUCUGACCUGGAUCCACCUAUCUAGAAGAGGAAGGAGCGUUUUAGCUGGCAGAUUGGCUUACUUAGUGAUUCACACCUUAAACUAACAAGGAUAAUCUCUUAAUUCAUGUGGUACAGCCUGAUCAGAAAAAUAUUGUUAGCUCUGUGCUUGCCAAUUUUCAAGAAGUAAUUACAGAGGUUAAGACUGAUGGCAAUGUGGCCUGCAGUGAUCAUGCCCUGACCGUAAAAAUGGUCAGAGAACUGGAAAAGUUCUCCUAAGAAAACUCAAAGGAGUUGAAGUUUUUCUUAACUGGAGAGGAGAAGGGUUUGGGAAUAUUUCAUUGCAGCCUUUCAGUAUAUAAAGGGAGCUUAAAAAGAUGGAGAGAGAACAUUUUUACCAAGCCCUGUAGUGACAGGAUAAGGGAAAAGAGUAUUAAACUGAAAGGGGUUGGAGAUAAGGAAGAAAUGUUUUACAGUGAGGGUGGUGAGACAUUGGAACACAUUGUUCAGGAAAGUUUGGGAUGUUCCAUCAUGUUCAUCCCACGGGGUUUCAGUGAUCCAGAGUUUCAGGAUCCAGCUUUCCAGUUACACAGUGGUUUCCUGCUUCUUGUGUUGGCAGCAAUCAUGCAACUUUAAAGAAACUGAUUACACAUAAAUGCAACCAUACAUAUAAAGCUAUAGGACUAGAGAUCAACAUUUUCCCUGAUCCAGACUUCUCUAUCAAAAUCCAGUCUGAAUAGAGACGACUUGAUAUCUACAAAUUCCAUAUGACCCUCUAGCUAGAGACCAUCCUGCACUAAGAUAUUUCAGUCUUCUUUUUCGAAGUGUUAACUAUUUUACUGGUGAAGAAAACAAUCAAAUUAUUUUGGAAUGGAAAGAGAAGCAAUAAAUGAUAUGAUGUAACAUAAUAAUUUAUAUACUGGUCUUGUAUCCAAGUCACUCUCCUAGAUGCAUAAAAUAAUAGAAUACUUUGUGUUGGAAGGAAGAUCAAGAUCACUUAGUUCCAGAGACACAUAUCACUAGAACAGGUUGCUCAACACCACAUCCAACCUGGCCUUAAACACUUCCAGGGAUGGGACAUCAACAGCUUCUCUGGUCAACAAUUUGUAAGUGAUAUACAAAAACAGCACUCAUAAUGCAAGGAAAAUUAUUCUGGACUUCCCUCUCCAACUGCUUGAGCUAUACAUUUUCUAGAAAUCUUAUUUCCCUUUUCUGGUCUAAUUUACUUUAUUUUCUCUUACUUUGUGAAGAUGAUGUGAUUGAUACCUGUGAUAUCAUCAUAUGAAAUAUCUUAGUGGUUAGGACAUUUUCUAGGGAAAAAACACUUUACAUAAAGAGUAUGUGCAAAAUUAUGUCUAAAUAUUAAAAAUAUUUUUGUUUUCUGGGAACAUUGUGAGGAAACAAAAAUCACCUCAGAAAAUGUUCCAAGGAAAUUAAUAAAAGUAACCGCAAACAAGGUAUAUUUUUGUGGUUUUUAACUGAAAAAAAAAAAAAAGCAAAAAAAAAAGAGUGUUUUACAAUGUCUCUAAACUCUUCUCAUAACUCUGAAAAUAUUACUUUUGUUGAAAAUCCCUUCUCUAUUUCAUUUUUUCUGUCAUAACAUCUAAUAUUUUAUAAAAUUUUGAAGAUGUAUUGUCUGUGUAACUGUAUGGUACAUUUUCCAAAAUGCAAAGUAGAUCACUGUACCAUAUAGCUGAAUUGAAGGAUUCAGAUUAGAAUCAGAUAAAAUGCACUUACUUGAACAAGCUAGUAAUUACACUGAAUCAUGUAAUGUGUCUCUAGAGCUACUCUAUUCUAGUUUGCUUAAAGAGCAGCUGACUCCGAAAGCACUGUUUACAAGCUAUUCUGUUCCCAUAUUAUAUAUUUUUCAAUAUUUAUCUUCCAUUGUUCCUUACUACUAGGAGCAUUUGCAUGAAAACAGGAUCUUUGUUUUUUGGGAGUGCAUCUGCUACUGCUGCUGAUUCUCAGCCUGAAGUCAUAAUCCAAUGUUUGAGACAUCAGCCUUACAUUUAAAGGAACCAGAUGAAUUGUCAUUAUAAAAAAAGUGCAAAAACACCCUCAGAUUCUGUCUUCAGAUGUAGUUUAAAAGGAGAACUCUCAACCAUGAAACCUAUUUCCUUACAAGUGCACAUAAUGAUGCACAGCUAGGAAAACAGUAAGAAUCAGCAGCUUCGUUGAAAGGUAUGAAUGUACUCCAGGGAGUUAGGGAACUAGACUGCAGAAAGUGGUUUUGCUAUGGUAAUACCACCUAUGCCUCUUAAGUUUUCUAAUGUCUUCAAAUCCUAUGCUGAUUUUACCUUAAUAUGUGAAUUUCUUACUCAGACAAAUUCUCAUUUACCAUGCAGGAUACCAGCACAGAUAGUGUCAUGACUCUGAGAGGACUAGAGAAUUUGAAAUCCAGAAAAGGUGCUUUCAAAAACCCGAUAUUUUUACAGUUGGCUUUGACAGAACAUAGAUUUAUAUUUGGAUUCAGAGUGUUUCUGAUUGUGACUAAUAGACUGGAAAUACUAUUACAGAUGCUGAAAGAAACAUUUGAAUAAAAAUGCGUGGGGUUUCUUUAAUAUUAAAAAAAAAAAAGAUAAAAGAAAAAUAAUUGUAAGUGUUUAUGUUAUUUAAACUCUCUCUCUACUUGACACCAAGGGCUGGUACCUGCUAAGGACAAUUUGACAUUACUACAGCUUCUCUGUCUCUUAUCAAUUCUCACAGAAACAUAGGUAAUUAGCUUAGGGAACUUAGCUUUUUAUUAACUGAUGUCUGGUGAGGGAAGUCACAUCCCAAGUAAUAAACACAAGAUGCAGCCUUGGAAAUAGAACUGUUUUCCAUAUUUUCAUGAUACCAUCAAAAGAGCUGUGUGUGAAUAUAUUUUGUGGGCCAAGAGAUUACAGCUGUACAUACAUAAGUCUAGAGAGAAUGCAAAUAUGUGGGUAAAUACAUAAAUAAUAUUAGGCAGAAGGCUAAUAAAUUGAUGAUUUCUUUGUCAUUGCUGUUUUCCAUGCAUUUAUAUUGAGGAGGAGCUGAACAUUCAAAACCCUAAAAUAUUUAGUCUGAAAUUAUUUAAAUUUUAUUACGAUGGCAGGGUGUCUCAAACAAUAGCAAUUGGAUUUCUUCCUGUCUAUAUCACUUGGUUUCCAUUCUCCAGUUAGAUUAAAUUUUCAGGUGGAUUAAGAGAAUGAAACAUGGCCCAUUAUUAUUGUAGUUUCAAACUUGUCUACAUUGGUCAGAGCAAAUAUAUUCCAGCUAGCAAAUGUGCAGGGAAAACCAGCCUGGGAGAUAGUAUGAGGUUUUAAAUUGAAAAACCAUACUAGUUAUUCAGAAAGCAUUUCUAAAACUAUAUUCUGUGACUUAGAACAAAUUGCAAUUCUGCUGAGAUUUUCUUUCAAUCAUGGUUGACUUUACCAAACUAAAAUUUAAGUCUGCAUUCAGGCAGAGUGUUUUGGUUUCAUAACCAUCUAUAAUUUCACUGCUGUUGACUCGUCUGAACAAGGAUUGUAAAGAGGAACCUAAAGCUGCUAUCAUCUGUCUUCAUUUCAUCCUUUGUCUUUUGCAUUUCAGCUAUGUUCAUCCUCCUUUCUUCUCUCUUCUAACUUGGUUUGCCUUAUUUCUCAGCAAUGUGAUAUUACUUGCAAUUUGGGGAUGCAGUUCCAAGGGAUUUUCCUGCUGGCAUUUAAAAAAGCAAGAAGGAAGGAACUAGUGAAAUGUAUGAAAACCUGAGAGACACUUUAGUGUACUGUAGAGAAUUUAUGUGGACUUUCUGUUACUGAGUGACUGCAUUAAAUGUUUGACACGUACUUGUUUGGGAAAAAAACAAAGCUAACAGCCUUUGUCAUAUAUCAAAAGCCUUUCUAUAUCAAACUUAAAUUAUACCCUCUAUAGUAUAUGGUCUGGCAGUGCCCUGUAAUUUCAUUUAUAAAAGAAACAUCUCUAGGCUUAAAAAUAACAAUUUCUACACCAGCCCUUCAUGUAAAUGUCAGAGAUGGAUUUCUAUCAGUGUUCCAAAUACUUAGAUAUGUAUUAGUAUAUAUCGUUGAAAACAAAGAAACAGCAGCUCAAUCAAUUCUCAAUUUGUUAUUGCUUAUGUGUCUUGCUUAGGACAUUGCUUUUUGUUCAGAUUUUAUUUUUCUUCAGGUACAGGAACUAAUAAAUUUUGUCUUUAAUUUCAGGUUUAGAACUGACAGCUCCAUCAAACGGAUUUUCUAAGAGAGAUUAAUGACUUUCAUGAAUACACAGUGGACAUCCAAACUGCUUUAUUAGUUCUCUUUUUCUUUAUCUAAUAACUAAUGGAUAUUUUCUUUCAUAUGCUAAUUAAAAAUUAUUUUUUAUCCACUGUGUUACCAGUUUUCAAGCAACCUGAGUUUUGAGUUUAUCUUAAAGAUCACUUUGUUGGGGUUUUAUAUAAGAUCCUAGUCAAUUAUACUUUGCUUUCUAGAGCAAAUUUCUUAUGGUCCAGUAUUAAAACACAUACUUAUAAUAGAUAGACUAUAAUUUCCUUCUUACAUGUAAGCUGAAAACAGGUUCAAUUACUAAGUCUGGGUUUGGGCUUGUAAGGUUGAGUCUUCCAAUUAAUUUACAGCAUUUUGGUAGCACUAACUUAACACAGUUUACAAGCAGUCUCAAAUAUCUCAAUUAGGUUGGUGAGGAUGUUUUAUAUUCUCAGAAAUGUCUUUUCUUCCUGGAUUUCCAACAAUGCAUUUAAAAAUAUCUAAUUAAAUGAUACAUAAGAAUAAUUUACUUUCUGAUUUAUUUUUACAUAAUAAAACAGUAUGACUUUAAUAGAAUUUUAUACUUACAUAUGUUGACAUAAUUAGAAUUUAUAUUUUGAAAAAUAAAUACAAUGGAAUUAUGUAUUAUUUAAUAGAAAAUAUAUUUAAUAUUUUGCAAAAUGUUAUAUUUUAAUUAAAUAUUUUUAAAAAUAUUUCAUGAAAUAAAUGUUGCAAUUACAAACAUAUUACAUGAGCUUUUGAGAAACAAUUCUGUAUAAAUAGUUUUCCUCCAAACUCUUCCAUCACUCAUUUUUCCUCAUCCUAUUUUUGUAUUUUUCCAAUACAAAGUGAAAGUGCUUUCAGUUCUACCAAUAUUUGCCAAUCAUAUGAUCCAUUUAAGCUUCAUAGUACUGUGUCAGGGUUAUCUCAAGUCCAACAUCAGAAUUCACAUUUCUCUCUUAAAACUCUUAAUUUCUUGUACUUUUCAUAUAUAUCUGAGACAGAACAAAAAUAUGUUUGUGGGAUCAAAGUGAAAAUUAAUUUAAAUUUAAGCAAGGUUUAACUGAUCUACAGCAUGCUUCAAAGAUGUUUGCUGGAUAUCAAUACUUGCUGGCAGUGUGGACAGGAAGGUGAUAAUUUAGCACAUAACUGGCAUUGUCUUUCUAUUUAAAAUGUUAGAAAUUCUAUGAUAUAUUAAGUCAUCACAUGACAUAUCCAUCUUUGCUGUAUUUAGCCUAAAUUCAUGUGAAUGUAGUCUUCUAGUAAAUAGACUGCAAUUGCCCUCAGUUAUGCAAAGCUUUGAGUCAUUUGAAUGCAAGUGCAAUCAUAUUUCUCUAAAAGAAUUGAAUAUUGACAUAUUCUAUACCGUCUAAUUUAUAAAAUUUAAUUUAAGACUAGAGGAUAUGGAGAAAACUAGUUGCUCGUUUGCUUAUUCUGGUUAAGAAUUUAAAAGAAACAUAAUUGAAACAGAAUUUGAAUGCGAAUUGCACACAGACUUGUUAAUGAGGGGCUGCAGGACUAGGAAGCCUUGUUGGCUUGAAUUUGAGUCACUUCUCUGAGUUUUAACCUGUUCUUGUACACAUUUUCUAUAGCUGUUUGGCUUUUUAAACUAGGCCUAAACCCAAACUUUUGAGACUCACACUGAAUGACACCUUACAGCAUAGUUCGUCUCAUUGACAUGAACCUGAAUAAAUUAACUGUAGAAAGGCAACAGAACCUUGUAUGAGUUGUCAGUUUUCAUAAUCUUCUUUUCCCUUCAGUCAUUAAAGCUAGUAGUGGUCUAACAGAAGACUCAAAACUCCUGACAUCAGGAAUGGCUUCAAGCAUCAGCACUUCAUGAUUCCCCAGUACAACCUUUUAUACCCUGUCUCUCAUAUGCAGCACACCUGUGUGCCCUUUUACUCUUUUGUGAUUGGUCAAUGCACCUCAGCAUUCCGGGCUUCUUUUCCUUUAAUGAUGGUCACCUGUUUUACACAGCUCACCCUAUUAAGGACGAGGCUUGGCUGCAGCCCCAUUCCUAAUGUCCCAUAAUUUAUUCUUCUGCAAUGGUCAGUUCCUUAAAUAGAAACAAACAAAUGUAGAUAAUCAGCAAAUUUCUUAGAUAACCACAAACUGAAUUUUCUUAUUUCAUGUAUGCAUUUUUUUCCUUUGAAUAUUUUUUAUGUGUAUGUUUGUAUGAAGCAGUUAGAAUAGUCUUGAAAUAAAUUUUUAUACAAUGAACAACAUCAGGUGAAUAUAGUAAUAUCUAUUCUCUUAGUUUCUUAAUUUUGUAUAUUACUUGAGUAAUGACUAUCCAAUAAUCAUUUCAGGUUCUCAUUCACAUAGUUAUAGUUGUAACUAUCUGAAAAAAUCUCUUACACAUGUUGACAGUGCAUGUAAAUUAUUUUUUACCUACCUUGAUCAGAGUUACAAAACCAGACUCUAUGAGAAAUGAAUAAACAAAUUAUUUCUUUAUCUUCUUAA
Non-coding RNA from Taeniopygia guttata (zebra finch), 58594 nucleotides. The record is from RefSeq and is a predicted model, not a curated record. Lineage: Eukaryota; Metazoa; Chordata; Aves; Passeriformes; Estrildidae.